Molecule: long non-coding RNA, 76359 nt
Filed under: Ananas comosus (pineapple)
Lineage: Eukaryota; Viridiplantae; Streptophyta; Magnoliopsida; Poales; Bromeliaceae
Description: long non-coding RNA (ACOM_LNC018367)
Source: RNAcentral
CUAUAGUAUCGGAAUUUCGAUACUAUAGUUUGUUUUCAAUCUUAGAAUGUUGAAAUCAACGAUCAAAAUCGUUAAAACUAAUAUAGAAUAUUUAAAGUUUUUAGGAAUAAAUUUUUUUUUUUGACAUAGUUUAUUUUAUGAUCAAAUUAGUUAAAAGUUAUCAAUAUUUAAUGGCUAACAUGACGAAUUUAUAUAUAGUUUAACGGUAUAGAAGAAUGUAAAUUUAUUCGAUGAAAAAUAUUUUAAACCAUCUAGAUUAAGAUCAGCAUUCUUGAUCAUGAAUUCAAAUGUACUAUCCUCAAAUUUUAAAUGAUGUCAAAAAAAUAAAAUUUUAUUUUUAAGAAUUUUAUAAUCCUAAAUCAUAUUUAAUGAUGUGAAUUGUUGAUUUGAAUACCCUAAAAUCGAAAACAAAAUUAUAGUAUAGAAGCUCUGGUACUAUAGAUAGUAUAUUAUCCUUGUUCUUCCAUAGCAAUGUUCGUAUAUGAUCCAACCAAUGAGUGUGGGCAAUUUUUUUCCGUAGUUGAAGAAUCAUCUUAGGUUAUUGGGUUAAUUUCAUUUGUACCCUUACAAAAUUAUGAAAUAUCACGAAUAUUCUUCGAAUUUUUAAAAUUUUACAAAUGCCCCUCUAAAUAUAAUAUUUUUUCAUAAAUACCAUCCCUGUUAAUUUUUUCUGCCUUCCGUCAAUUUAGUAUUUUUUGUCAUUUUACUUUAAAAUAUGAAAUUACCUUUUUACCCUUAAUUUGUUUCCUAUAUGUUUAUGGGUUAAUUUCAUCGGUACCUCUCUAAAUUUCAAAAAUAUCUUAAAUGUCCCUAUAAAUUUGGUUAUAUCAUAACUUCUAAAUACAUACUUUCUUUCAAAAACAUCCUCGCUGUUAUAACUCCGUCACUUCAAGUCAUAUUAAAUUUAGUUAGAUGGCGGUCUAACACUGGUUAAAAUUUGAAAUGUUUAUUUUGCCCAUAAGUUGAGAAAUUUUUGAACGGUACAUUAAUUUUAUGAUUUACUAUUUAACCCCUAACUUUUAUUCAUUAUUUGUUUAACAUUUAGACUAACAUUAUUCGCUGAUAUUCUUUAAUACUACUUAGCUCCUAAUUUUUUUUAAUUAUUUAUUUUAGUUAGUUAUAUUUAAAAUUUCAUUUAACUUAGAUUGCUCUGUUAGCUAUUACUUAUUAUAUAUUUUUUUAUUUUAACUUCUACAAAAUAAUUAAAAUUAUUAAAUUUGUUGGAAUCAUCAAUGGAUUGAUAAAAUCUGUAAUUUAAUUAACAAAAAUCAAUCUAAUUUCAAGGAACCAAAUAUUAAGAAAACUUUGAUCAAAAAAAUUAAAUUAAGGGGCUAUUUCAUAAUGUAUAAUAGUUAAGGAAAUCUCUAUAUAUUAAUCUUAGAAAACUUGUGAGGGUAUUGAUGAAAAUGUAUUGAGGGUAAAUUCGGUAUUUUGAAUUUAUUAUACCUAAACAUAACGAGCAAUAGUUACGAGGGCAUUUUUGAAAAUUUUUAUGCUUUUUUGAGGGCAAAUAUGAAAUUUUAAAAUUUUAAAGGGUAUUUAUGAUAUUAGAUCUAUUUGGAAGGGUAGUGAGGAAAUUUUCCGUUUGUGUGGUUACUGAAAAAAGAGGAAACUGAAUGUACUCUUGUCUCUCUUUCUUUCGAAAAAUUUCAUCACCUAAAACAUUUGACGGAAACUGAUCGUCCCUGGUAUAAUGUUAAAGAAUUUGAUGAUUAAUAUGUAAAGUCUCAAAUUCAAAAUCUAAUUAUUUAUAUUUUUUGCUAAAUUUAGUUUUUUAAAUAAAAUAAUUGAAACAGGUAGCAUGCUAUAUUUUUUUUUAAAAAAAAUCUGAUGGAAACAAAUUUCUUAAAAAACCUUUCUCAAACUUGCUAAAUUUGAUAUUUGCUCGUGGACCGCAAACUUGCAAUUUUUGUCGGAGUGUGUGGCUUAGUUUGAUCUUAUUUAAAUAUCUUCAAACUGAAUGUGAGGUUAAUAUAAAUGUAAGGAUAAAUUUCAAAUACUAUCUCUGUGGUUUCGCACUUUCUAACUUUAAUACCCUGUGGUUUAAAGUGCAUCAAUUUAGUAUCCUGUGAUUUUUUUUUCUCUUUUCAUCAGCUCCUACCUUAACAUUUUGUUAAAUUAUAUACAAAAAACUUUAAAUACCCCACUUAGAUUUAUCGAAUAUUCAUUUUAGUAUCUUUUAAUUUUAACUUUGUCACUGAUUAAAAAAAAAAAAAAGUAAAGAAGAUGCUAAAAAUAAAAAUAUGAAACCACGAUAUACUAAAUUGAUACAUAUUAAUUAAAUCAUAGAGUACUAAAAUAAAAAAAUACGAAACCACGGGAAUUGUAUUUGAAGUACGUCUCCCUAAAUUUAAUUCUUGCCUUUAGUAUCCUUCUCCCGAUUGGCUUCACUUCUUUUUCUCAUUUUUCUCUCUUUUAUUUUCUCUCCAUGUCUUACUAAUCAUUUCCAUCAACCGUCCCUAGAGCAAGUGGCAAAGGGCUUGGUGGUUGGUAUCCGAGACCCAAGUUCAAAUCCUAGUUGAUUCACAUUUUUAGCUAAGUUUAUUUCUAAAUGAAAUGAACGAAGCGGGUAACGUGCUACCUAUCUCUCAAAAAAAAAAAAAAACAAAACAAAACAAAACAAAACAAAAAAAAAACGUGCGUGGAAGGGGAAACCACUGAGUUCAGGGUACAAAUACAAAACGUAAAAGAUAAUUUUGAGACUAAAAUAUUCAAGAGAAAAGUUUAAGGGCUAAAAGAUGUCACAACAUUUGUGACAAACCUUGGAAAAUAUUUAUCCAUGCAUUCCAUCAAUCAAACUGACCAAUGCUAGGGAGUUUCACACACGAUUGGGUUCGCUAGGGUAAAGCAAGGACCAAGUUAACCAAGAAUGUGUUUGGUAAAAACGAACUACACCCCAUCAAAUUUGGUGACUUCGAUCCAAGCGAUGAAAUUCAACCUUGCGCUCAUUACGGGCAAAGUCACUAGCUAGUUUGCGCUGUGCGCAAACUCGCUGCCAUAUGAGACGGAUUCGCGCACGUCGGCUCCAUAGGUUCCAUGGAAGUCGAGCUGCACGAUUCAAUCCACGAACACUGGCAUGAAAACUCAGCCACUUUGACCCUGACUUUGGACAAACCAAACAUGGCCUACAGUACACCCCUAUGGGUGAGCAUAUUCGGCUCAAACUGAAUUACCAUACAAACCCCAUCGAAAUCAGUCGGGUCGAUUGCUUUUACAUAUAAUAUAAUUAUAAUUAAGUUCCGUUCUAAAAGUUAAAAGCUAGAAAAUCGAAUAAACGGAAUAAAACAAAAGUUGAGUAAUUCAAUAUAUAUUAGUCUCAAAUUUUAAAAAACUUAUAUAUUAAUUACUAUUAUUAUUAUCUUAGAUUAAUGAUUUUAAACAUAAAACUAAUCAUAAUUAUAUCUUAUUUUUAGUAAUUUAGAAAAAGCCCUAAAAAUAUUUUAUUAAAACUAAAUAAACUGAACUGAAUCAACCGAAUUAUUUGGUUUUGUUCACAUCAGUUUUUGCCUCUAACUCGUUUUGGUUAGGUUUUAUAAAAAGCUGUAAAUAUGGCACUAGACAGACCAACAAUGCUUACCCCUACAUUUGCCUACUGCUUUUGCCGCUUUUGUGAACCAAUUCGAUCGACAAAGUUGAGAAAGCACGUUUGGUGAUGACAAUGGUGGUAGAGGUGAUAAAUGCGUCGAGAGUUCAAUCCCGUAUUAGAUAAUUAAGAAGAAAGUAAAGAAUUGAUGUAUUUCAAUGGGUGCAGAUCUAAUAGGCUUAAACUUUUAGAUUGAAUGAAUUCAAUUAUUUGUCAUAUCCUUAGACUUAUGUAAAUUUGGAUUAGGCUCAAAACUCCCUAACAAGUGGUACUCGUUUAAAUAGUAUGGUGCAAUUGAAUUAGUUGUUAUUAAAAACGUGACGGGAAUACAUGGAGGAUUUGUCUAUACCUCUAUACAUAUAUAUAAAUUUUCAUGGCUAAAUUCACAUGAAUGUACUAUCUUCAUUUGAGGGUGGUGGAGAGAUCAAGAUGCGUAUGGAUUUUUCAAUAUAUGAUUUUCGGUUUUUCUUUUUCUCUCUCCUUUUUUGUUGCUCACUGUUCGGAGCCCUCCGGCCUCCAUUCGCUGCUCCUCAUGCGUCCUUGACAAGAACGGUUCAUGAUGCUAUCACAAGCUAUACUAUUCUCAACAAUUAUAUAUGGAAUAUCUAUAUUGUUAUGUUUUUAUUUUUUCAUAAUUUUUUUUUCAAUUAUCUACCUGUCGCAUCGCACAGGUUGUUUCAUUAGUGAUAAAAUGAUAAGACAAUUUUGUGUACUCAAAAGAACUGGACUCAGAGAGGAGUGGAUUGGAUGUAUGAGCUCAUAUUAGUGCAUUAAAAUCAAUUACGCCCGAGAGGCACAUGCCAGGAGCAUGAGUUGGGCUAAACUUUUGAUUGACAAUGACUAAAGCACAUGGAUUGGGAUGUGUGGAUUUGCAGUGACUUACAAAGAAAAGCUAGAAGGACAUGUAUUUGAGACGAACCAAAAAGUGAUUCGGUGCUACGCGUGGAAAGUAAAACGAAAAAAAAAAAAUUUGAGUUUAAGGGGAAAAAAACAAGUAAAACGAAAAAAAAAAAAGAUUGAGUUUAAGGGAAAAAAAUUGAGUUUAAGCAGAAGCAGAUUAGUUCGCAUGUAAAAUGAGAAGGUUGUUAAGAGUUUAUGUAAAUAAUCGCAUAUUGAAUAAUUAAUAAGAGAGAAAAAUGUUGAAAUAUAUGCCACUGGGCCUAAUGAGUUCCAUCAAAAUAUGCUACAUGUGAAUCUGGACCAUGCGGUUGGGUCCAGAACUCCUUGCUUAUAGGGUCCCCCUUAACUUUGUUUAUUUUAGAUCAGCACGGCACCCUCUUAUUGACCGUCCUUAACGCAAGUGGCAAAAAGACUUGAUGGGUUGGUAUCUGAGACCCACCGCACCCUCUUAUUGACCGUCCCUAGCGCAAGUGGCAAAAGCGCUUGAUGGGUUGGUAUCCGAGACCCAAGUUCGUAUCCGAGAUCCAAGUUCGAAUCCUAGUUGAUUCACAUUUCCAGCUAAGUUUAUUUCUAAAUGAAAUAAACGAAGCGGGUAGUAUGCUAUCUUUCUCUCUCCCAAAAANAAAAAAAAGCACCGCACCCUCUUAGUUCCUAAUUUUUUUAAUUAAGAAGUUUAAAGUUCAGAGGUUCUUUUGAUAGUUGAGAGGUGGUUUCCAUCCUAAUUUUUUUAUAAAUUGUCGAUAAACGCUAAGUCUACAAUCCAAAGAAUUGUAAUCUCUUCAACCCGUCAUCCAAGAGGUUGUAGGGUGUUUAAAAAAAUAAAAAAUUCGAAGGUGCUAAGACAAGUAGAAAAAAACACAAAAGGGGCUUUUGGUGAGUAAAAUUGCAGGAUUAGUGGAUUACAACCCAAAAUAGGUUGAAGGCCUUGCAUUUCCCAUUAAACUCUAUACUAAAAUUGAAGCCAAAUGCCGUUUCUCCAAUGAGCCACGUGGCCUUUUUUUUAUAUGGAUUUUCUCUCCCUCCCUCACAUAGACUCACAUGGGCUAUGUUAAAUGGGCAUGUAUUAUACAAAAUUUUAUUUCAUGCACCCUCUGUAUCAUAUUAAACAAUAAUGAUUUUAAAGGUAAGAGGCUAUGUUAAAGAGGCAUGUACUAUGAAAAAUUUUAUUCCAUGCACCCUCUGUAUUAUGUUAAACAAUAAUAAUUUUAAAGGCAAGCUCAGUUAAAAUCAACCAGAAGAACGUCAUCUUAAUUUUACAGUUCUGAACCUUAAUUUUCUUUGUCGCCGAAAGAUCUACCAACUAAAAUCUUUAUCAGAUUGCUACUAUUUUCCGUCCUCACUUUUGGAGUGUCAGAAUGACACGAAAUUGUAAAUUUAGUCUAAGAAAAAUAAUUCCGGCAUAUAUUGAAAGUUUAAUAUUUUUUUACAAUGUAUAUUUUCUUCUAAAAAAAAAUUAUAUUCCUUACAGAAAAUUCUAAAUCUCAUGUUUUCAUUCCAAUUGCACCAUGGAUUAUUUGUAAAUUAUCUUUUACUUUUUUAAGUCCAAUAGAAAUAGUAUCUCACCCACAAGAUAAUCUUUUUUCUUACAAAAUUUUUCAUACUACAUACAAAGGGUGUAUGAAACAAAAAAAUUCAUAGUACAUAGAAUACUGUCUUGUCCUUUUGCUAUCUUUCUAAUCAUGAGAGUGCAUACAUCCUCCCCCCAAUUUUUUCUAUAUAUAGCAUUGCUGUUCACCAAAAGAAAAAACAAGAGAUUGAUGAAAUCAAAACAUAUAUAGAUUGUAGAUAUUUAUCUGCAUGUGAAGCAACUUGCCGUUUGUUCCAAUUUGAUAUCCAUUUUAGAGAACCAUCGGUUGAGCGACUACGAGUACAUCUUCCUUUAAUGAAUAAUAUUAUUUUCCACAAUACUGAAAAUUUAGAAAGUCUUUUGCGUAGACCAAGCAUUGAAAAAACAAUGUUGACUGAGUGGUUGCAUACCAAUUCAAUUUAUGAAGAUGCUCGACAACAACGAUAGUGAUUUGCCUAUUUAAACUUCUGCUGUAGCGAAAAAAUCACGUUUGUAAGUAUUAAUAUUUUUAAAAUAUUUUUUGUAUUUCUUAUUCCAUCAUAUAUAUAUAUAUAUAUAUAUAUAUAUGAGAUAUUGUUCAUACGUAUGCAGUUCGAAGACUAGAAAAGGACCAAGCAAAGUUAACACCCGCAAGAAAUCAAGUGGAACCGAUAGGCCAUAAUUAAUGAUUUAAGAACUGUUUUAUCAAUUAUAUUUGUAUUAUCAAAGACAUCACAUCGUAUUAGAUAAUCUAUAUUAUAUAUUUAGUUAUCUUACAUAAUGUGAAUGUUAUAUAUAUCUGUAUGUUUCGUGAUAAAUAAAUAAUGAAAGUCGUAUUAUUAACUCUCAACGCUACGACCUCCCGCCGCGAAGCGCGGGUCAUUACACUAAUAUAUAUUAUUACAGUACACACAUCUCAAACUGUAGAGCUUUAACAAAUGACCCACCAUACUUUUAACUUGGCAAUUAAAUCUCAAAACUUUAUUAAAAAAUUUAAUAGUCUCUGUCCAGGAGAAAAGUAAGUAAUUGAACAACUGUGCUAGCGGCAUAUCUUAUAGAUAUCCUAUAAACUUUCAAAACACAAAAAACUGAGUGAAUUUGUUUUUGAUUUUUUCUUUUCAAACAACUAGAAUUUUAAAGAAUGUUUCAUUGUGUCAUGAAGCUUCACAAGAUCAAAUGCAAGAUGAAUGAGAACAGAUGUUUAAUUAGGAACUUUACUUGAAAAGAAGAGUUUUAUUGAAUUAUUUAAUGAAGUUUACGAGAAAAGGGGCUGUACAUUUCUAAUGCAGGCAUAGAUCCUGUAGGUGGCUAUUGAUGCUCUGGUACCAAACUGAUGCAAGCUGAAAUGCUAUAACUACAAGUAGGGUUGUCAACAAGCCGAACACGAACAAGUUGGGACCGGCUCGUAUUCGUUCAUUUAUUAAAUGAGGCAAAUACGAGAUGGUUCGUUAAAAUAUCGAUCCCGAGCCCAUUUCGAGCGGAACACGAGCUAGUUCGUGAAUAGUGAGUUGGAUUGCCGGUCCUAGUUGCAAGAACUGUAGCAACAAGUAUUAUAUCAACAGGUAGAAGAGUAAAAAAGAAAAGAAGAGAUAAAUAAUUCUAAUCCUAAUAAGAUAUCUUAAUUUUAAUAAUUUUUGCAAUUUAAAACUUCUAAAUCAAUAUUCCUAAUUUUAAAAAAUUUAUUUCAUAUCACAAAUCCUAAAAUAUCAAAAAAGUCUAAAAUAAAUAAUCAAUAAUAAUAACUUGAAAAAUUACCAAAAAAAAUCCUAAUUAAUAUUUUUGGUGGCAUCAAUUCCAUAAUAGGUAAAUUGCACCAUUAGUUCCUAAACUUCAAGCCAAGUUUUAUUUUGUUCCUUGAAUUUCUAAGUUAAAAGUGAUCCCCUAGAGGCACCUCAUAUUUAUUUACUGUUAGUGGAUAAAUUAUUGUCUACACCAAAGUGCAUAUCUAUGUACUAUGUAUUUAUGGACUAUUUUGCUCUCAUGGCAUAUUUCAACCUUUAUACCUAGAGUUGAAAAUGAAUUGAAUAAUACCUAAUCAUAUCUGCCUCCAUAUUCGAUUUUAUCCACAUCCGAAUAAGAAAUAUUUGAAUUUGGUCACGGAUCAGAUGUAGUUUCAAAGAGUUUAAAAUUAUUCGAAUAUUCACAAAAUUGGAUAUUUGAUAUGAAUAUUUGAGAAUAAAUAUGUAUGUUAUUAGUUAAAUUUUGCAGGUGAAUAAGAGAGAGUACGAUAUGGUUCACACGUACGGCAGGAGCCUUGCCCUUGCGCCUCUGCUUAGGGCUGUGGGUUUGAUUCAUCGCUUUUGAGCUGGGGCUGUGGGUUCGAUUCCUUGCACCGCCCAUGUAAACUUUUUUAGAUUUAAUUUCAAUUUUUAUUUUAAAAUUUAAUUUUAAAUUUAAAUUCAGAUCUUAAAGAUAUUUUAAAAUUCAAAUUUAGAUUUUUUAUUUAAAUUUAAAUUUUACAUUUAAAUUAUUCAUGUGAUGUAUUAUUGAUAAAAAAUUUAGAAGGCAUUUUUGAAAAGUUUUGAAUAUCAAUAAAUAGAAAAUUCAAAGAAGCAUGAGUGAUAUAAUAGAUAAAAAUAAAAUAGAUUUUUAUAAUUAUAAUGGCUAUUUCUAAUAAAAGCCAGUCAUUAAAAAAAUAUUUCUGAUAGGCAUGCGUAAUAUUAUUAAAUUUAAGUAAGCAUACUUGAUAUUAAAAUAGUUAGGGAAUUUUUAUUUUUUUUUAUUUUUUUUGGUUGUGGAGAGUUCUAAGUUUUAACAUCGUAUGCAUCUAAGGAUGCAAACAGGACGGUUCUGGAAGCGGGAGGUUCCUCUACCUCCCGUUUCAUUUUUUAUUGGGGCGAGACUGAUUCGGAGCAGAGUAUUUUUUAUUUUAUUUUUUGCUCCUACUUACCGUUCUAUUCAGGAUGAAUCAGGAUGAAAGUAAAAUUUUGACAGAUUUUUUAGGGGUCGAAAUGGAUUUAAAAAAGGAUGACUUCCAGCGUCCCGCAACUCCGCCCUAUUUACUUAGCGAUGGGGACUAUUCGGAAUAAAUUAUAUAUUUUUAUAUUUUUUAUUUUUAGAUAUUGUCUCAUUCAGGAUGGAUGGGACUUGGGAGGGAAGCUCCACGGAUCCAUUUGUAUCCCUGCAUGUAUCAACCGCUGGACAAUGCAAUGAACAUAAAGUGGGGCCCGCCAAAAUGCGGGGCCCACCGUUGGACGAGGUAGUGAGAUGACGCAACAGGCCCUCCGCCUCUCCCUAUAAAUAAGGGACUCGGCUACGUCCUUCGAAGGAACCAUAAACCCAUUCGCUCCCCCACCCCUCCACAAUCCCCGCUCGAUUACUCGCGAGCUCGGGGAGUACUCCGCAAAGAAGAGGAGAACGAAGGCGAGAUCUUAUAGAUUCUUCUGUCGAUUACUCUCUCCACCGCGAUCUCGGUAUCAUUCUCGAUCUCGAUCUAUCUCUUAAGCUCGAUCUAUCGAGUGGCUUCUCGACGAGUGUCUUAAUCGAGGUUUCACGCUCUAAAUUCCUAACGAAAUGGUGUUUUAGCUGCGGAUCUGUCGAAAAUUUGGUUCAAUUAGGGCUUUUCUUUGCGAUUUCGGUUCCAAGGCCUCCAAUGAUCCAUUUCUGGUUCAAUUCAACGGCUACAUCUAACAUACGAUUGUUCUUUGUCGUAAUUUUAGAUUCGAUGCUAUUUUUGGUUUUGCUAUGCUGAAAUUCUUGUGAUUUACUGCUCUUUCGUGCUCAUUUUAGUGGAAAACAGUUGUUUAUAUGUUUGAAUCGUUCUAUAAGGAGCCGAUCUCUUGUAGCUGGUGAUUUGAUCUAUUCUCAUAAAAUUACAUGGGUUUUGAUCUGUUUUCUAUUUAUUUUUUAGACAAAUAUAGCUUUCUAUUCUUGAAUAGUACUUUCAGGUCAAGUAUAGGGUGAAUUUAUGAUAUAAAACUUCCUAUGAUUGUUGAUUUGAUGAUUAUAUAUGUAUUUCAGAGUUUUGUAUACAGAAGAUAGAAUAAAUUCAUUGUUUAUACGAUGUAACGUAUGAAAAUAUGCUAUUACCCUCACAACUAAUUUCUCUAGGGUUACCUUUAUCUGAAAGCGGCAAACAACACUAAGACUCAGAAGGAAGCUAGUUAUUGAGAAGGGGAGAUAAGCAUGGAAAGUAAACAACAAUACUAAGUAGCUGAUAUCUGACGAGAUGAUUAUUCAUUUAUUCUCAGACUUUUAAUAACUCUUCAGUUUCAGGCUUAUAUAGUGAAUACUGCCAAAUAAGAUUACUUCACUAUAUAGCUUUCAUCUGACAUGCUAGAUGUUUUCUGAAUAGGAACAUAGAUGAGGAGAUGUUGCAUGUGGUUACAACAAUAACCCAAUGCCUCACCCAAAAUGGUUAAUGAGAACUUAUUGGAUUGGUUUCCAUGUUGUUUUAUAUUUCUUAUUUCACAUCCAUUGUGAGGUCUAAUUGCGUUCCGAAUAUUGAGCAGGACAGUCAAUAUAGGUUCUCAUGAAUAACCUGCAGAGAACAAGCUGCACAUGCAGACACAUUGAUGGCAGAAUCACAUAAGGGUAUUUCUUCAACUGCUAAUAUGAAGAAUAGAAGAGCAUUACUUGGUAUGAUUUGCUAUUCUGUUUCUGUGCUGGUGGGUUUACAAAGUUAAAACUCGUCAGCCAUUUCUUAUUUGGUACAUUGUGUUGCAACUAUUGAAAGUCCAUGAAAUAUGUUAAACAUACAUGGAGGCCAAGAUAGUGAUUGAACACUUUCUUAUUCUAUAUGCAAUAGCCCUUAAGAACAUCCAUGGCAGUGGAAUAAGUAUAUCAUAGAAUUUAACAUACUUGAUUUAAACCUGAUGUACACUUUUUCUUUGGAACAGAUGAAGAUUUUGGAAAGGACUUUCUUACAAGCUGGAAUUUGUCUAGACUGGGAAAAGAUGGACUCACCUUUGAUGUUGAAACAGUUUCACAGAGCGGCAAAAAGUUCAAUUUUGAUAAACUGUGAGUGGAUUUCAAAGAAACAAAUUUCUGGACCAACUCAAAGAGUAUCAUUCUACUCUGUAAUUAUGAUAUUAAUAUAGCCCUCUAUUCAGGGUCGACUUCGAGCUUGGUAGUAACUUUGACAAGCUAUCAUCUUUCAAACUGGAGAUGCCUGAUCUGGUCUUUUCCACUCCAUUCAAGAAGGCAGAGAAGGAAAAUGAGAAGUCUUCUGAUGAAUUUGUUCCGGGAAAAAAAGAAUCCAAAAAAGACAAGUUUGCCUUUGAUUUUGAUUUUAAUGAGUAAGUUUAUUGCACUAUAUUUAUUACUUCAGGACCAUUUGCUAUCCGAGGUUAAACAAUGUUAUAAUUUUCUUUUUGUUAUGUUCACAUGUUUUGUUUGCUUUUAGAUUGGGUAAGUUUGAUCUUGGCUUAAAACUUCUGACUGGAGAAAAGGAAGCUACUGAUCGCUCCACUAAAUGCCCAGAAGAUAUUGGUACCAAUUCUUCUAUUAGUCAGGACAAGGGUACGAAUAAGGUAGGCAAUUCAGGCAUGAACAUGGAUAUCCUUCAGAGUAAUGAGAAUAAGGCACCUUCCGAAACAGAGAAUCUAUCCACUUCAAGGCCUACUAAAUUGAUAGGGCAAGGGAUGGCAAAGACUGCUGGUUAUUCACGUUCUUUGAAGCUGACGUUUGAUGAUAUUCCCCAGGAAGUAGAUCCGUCUGCUACGAUGCAUUCCAUCAUGACAAAAGAAAAUAAAGAAGAAACUACUCAGUUCAGCAAGGAAAAUAAAGAGCAACCAGUUGCAACACACAAUGCAAGAUCAUCUGUUGAGAAUGCCGCACAGGGUUCCACACUUCUAUCUGCAUCUAGUGAUGUUUCAGCCCCGCCAACAGCUUAUUACUCUGAAGAGCUUUCUAUGUUGGAUCUUAUUGACCCAAAUCUGGUUGGUGGACAAGAUAAUAGCAUGGAAUCAAAUGAUUCAAGACACCAGAGGCCAGAAGGUAAAACAGAACCACCAACCACUGAAAGAGUGUAUCGGAAAUAUGAUAGGAACGUAAAUGAGUGUGGUAGAGAAAGCGUAUCUCAUAAUGAAUCAUCUGAAGGGUCCAAAGAUGUUUCCGGUACCUCUGCUACAGAUGUCUUACAGAGAAGUUUUUGUGGAACAAAGGUUGGCGGGGAUGGUGGAGAGAAGAAAAUUUUGAGUCCAAAUCUUCUUCCAUCACCAAUGCACAGGUUUAUUUUAUCUUAGUAGUUCUUUGGUUAAUGAUUGAGAAAUGAUCCUUUCAUUCAGUUGGUUCCAUGCAUGAGUUGUCGUUUUAAUUUUUAUAUGCUGAUUAUCUUCACAGUUAUCUCCAAGUUACUGUGUUGUUGCAGAAAUUUACUGUGUUGUUGCUUUUAUAACGUCACUUGUGUUUGCUGUCUUCAUCUGUAACCACAGACUUCUAGUUCAUUUAUCUGAUUAUCUGCUGUAAGUGCUUUUUAGUCAAUUCCUCAUAUGAGUAAUCUUAAGUUCUAGUGCAAUUUUAUUUCUUUAACUGUACAGCAAGUUAUAGGGUAAGUCUAGGAAGGGGUAUGCAGCUAAAUUCAUGUAUUCAUGUGUGGUGCAGAAAUUUUGCAUCUCUUAAGUCCAUCGCAACAAAAGAAAGAGGAUCCUCUUCUUCCCUAUCACUUAAGCCUCUUAAUGCGCCACUAACUCGAAAGAGCAGUUUCCUGAAGUCACAUCAGAAACCUGCAAAAGGGGCAUCCCUUUGCACUGCAAAUGACAAAAGCGAUAAAGAGCACAGCACUGAUAGGUAAGGAAUUCUUUAAAUGACCUGACUCUAUCUGUGCUGUUUAUUUUGUUGCAGAAGUUUGAAUGAACUCCCGAAACUUUUCACCUUGAGGGAUCAAACUUACUUAAGGACCUUGAGGAAGUCAACAGUUAACAGCAUGCUUGAUAAAUCACUUGCCAUGUUAAACUUAAAGUGCAGUUGAGACUCAUAGUUAUACCUAGGUUACUCAGUGUGGCUAAAUUUAGGUUGAACCUGAUCGUCAUUGUGAUAUAUGAGUUGACAAUAUUGCCUUUGUAGAUUCUGUCCUCUAUUGAUGGUAUUAGACCUAUCUUUCUCAAUUUUAGCUGGAAAGUUGAAAAAUACCCUGCAAAUUAUCGAGGAAUUAAGAAAGAGUAAAAUGAAGUGAUAACUAUUUUUUGAACAAGUUGGCUUUGGUUACCAUUCAACUGUUUUCUUAGAGGGUAAAUUGCACCAGGAGUUCCCAAUCUUUUUAAAUUCUUACAAUUGGGUUCUAAUCUUUUGCAUCCCAUUUUAGCUGCAACUUUUUCAUUAAGUUCCUCUCUUGAAUUGAGUGAAGUCAUCAACAUAUUCGCCAUUUGGGAAGUCCAAAAGUCGCAUACACAACAAUGUGAUGAUGAUUAGGCAGAUAUUUCUGUGCAACUUGAUUGAGAAGUUUAAUUGAAUGGUUAUGCAUGCAAUGAAAUGCCACAAGUAGGGACCAAAUUGUAAGAAUAUUUUGCUAAAAGGUUGAGGAACCUUGUAUAGUUUAUCCUUUUUCAGUUAUAGGUGAUUUUGAACUUGGUGAUCGGAAAAUUCCUAAACAACUGGGCUAAUUUUGGAAGAAUUGUCGGCAAUAAAAUAACUGGACUACAACCAAAUGGCAUGAAAUAAAAUAACUAGUACCUCUUGAUUAACCUUGUAGAUGAAACACGAGCUUUGACGAUCUCAAAGAACUAGGACAUUAUUACUGAAAACAACAACAAUGAAGGUCGUGUCCAAAGUGCAAUGUUUGGAUUUUGCUAGGAGAAAUGCAAUCUUUAAUUCAAAUCAUUUUUCAGUUGCAUCUAGCACCAUACUUUAUCUUUUCAUCCAUCAAUUUGAUGCUUAUAAUGUGAUAGUAUUUUCUGGUCAAGUGUGCUGGUUCUCCUUUUCUUUUAUUUUUCAUUUCUAUGCUGGUAAUACACAAUAAUUUUUUUAGUUACUUCAAUUUACUGAUAUUCUCCAAGAAUUUUCUUCAUUAGAUCCAUAUACAAAUUAUAUAAAUCCUGUCUUUGCAAUUCCAUUUCUUACUCGAAGUUGUAGUAACGAAAUUUUCUGUCCUUUUGAAAAUUCAUGAAUAGUUCACAAAUGUUGGUUGACUGAAUGUUUCUUCAAAUUAUUCAGGAAUAUAUUAAUAUUGACCAGCAAAUUGUAAAACAUAUAAAUAUGUGAAAUAAUAACUAAUUCAAGUAUUUUGCAUUAAUCAGUACCAAAUAUAUUAACAUUUACUAUCUGAAUUACCACUGAAUUUUUUCUGAAUUCUCCAUCAAUGUUGCCGAGAUCAAUUCAAAUACUCAACUUGUGAUUAUACUUGAAAUGCCUUGAUUUGCAUAUUUGGUACUUUAUUUUUCUCAUUACCCUUGAUGCAUUUCUUGCUUGACUUUUUGAUAGUGCUUGUACAUUUACAAUUGCAGUUUCCAUCUUCCAUCUUUCAACUUGCUUUCACGGGCUGAUACUGGCAGUAGCAGUACUAAGAGUGGCACUUCCAACCUUGUUUCAAGCUGCACACACCUUAAAAACCCCGAGGUCAUUUCUUCCGAAGUGCAACAUACUGCUAUGAAGGAUAUAAAACAUACUCUGCUUUCUAGCAUGAUGUCCUCAAGGUAGGAUAUAUGCAUCCUUCCUCCAGCUAUGCAGAUUACUUUGCAGAUGUUGAUCUAUACGAAGUUUUUUAUCUAAUGUACUUUUCGUUUGUGCAGAGUUGCGAAACUAAAUGGCAACAUUCCAAGUUCUACAAUGCGAAUAGAAGCAAAAUCAGUUAAGUUCUCAGAGGGGAACCAAGAUGCUCCUCAGAAUGCAAUAUCUAGCAAGCCCUACUCACCAAACAAAGAAAAACAUGUACCCCUGAGCCCACUUUUGAAGAGAAAGACUCUAGAGGUCCUCUCUAUUUGCAUAGUCCUAGUAUCUGGAUAUAUGAUUCUAUAGAGUACUUAUUUAAAACCUAUCUUCUAGUUGCAAGCUGAAUUUGUUGCUUAUUUGAUGCUAUUUCCUUUUAUUUGCCUGUUUGACACAUUUAUAAGAACAAAGAUAAAACCUCCACUACUUUUAAACCCUGUUUUGUCAUUAAAUACUUUAACAGGAAAGACCAGAUGGUGUUGUUUAACUUGUGAAUCAUAAAUGAAGAUAAUAGUGGUAACAAAGAACUAUAACAAUCUGCAAGCUAGAGGACCGGAAAAAUUUGUGAAGGGCAAAUGAAAUACAAAACUGCAUGACUGCUACCACCACAUAAGGAUUGUGCUGUGCUUCUUAUCUACAGUAUCAUCGUCAACAGGAAUUAUCUUUUUUGUUUCUUUGUUUGGAUUCUCUCGACUUUGCUGAAUCCUUAUCCUCUCUAGGUUUACCUCAAGGAUACAGAUAGAGUGGCAUGUAAAUAAGCCACAAAAUAUCAUGUGAAGGAAAAAGGACAGUGAAAUAUAGAAAAGUCAUUGAUAUAAGAGGUUAGGCAAAUGCUACCAUCCAUGGGAUGGGUGAGAAAACCACUAUAAUAACUACUGUUAGAAGGCUUACAAUGAUCAACAGGAGAUCUCUAACAAAUGCAUUAAGUAGAAGCACCAUGAAAGAAGCAUUUAAAAGGCCGACUGGAACUACAAAGCCAACUAUAAAUAGAUUAUCUUAAUUUUCCUUUUUGCAUUUCUGUCUCCCGCCUCUUUUCCUCUUGUAUUUUCUGCUUUCUUUUUCUCUCACUUUUCUCUCUUUUCUCCUCAAAGGCACUGGACACCGAAUGCUGAGAAUUGAAAGAGAGCUUUCUCAUUUCCUUUUUCUCCUGUUCAUAUGUCAGAUACAAAUACUAAGUGGACUGUAUUGUUUAAUCUUCUAGACUGAUGGCAAAGCCAUAAACAUAUUCACUUCUGAUUUUGCAGAAAGCAUGACUAGAUAAAAUAUCGUACGGCCUAAGUGAGAAUGCAUGAAAUAACAGAAAUAGGAGCUUUAGAAAAUGGGCUUCCAAGGUCCGUCCUUAUGCUAGAGGGAAAACAAGUAUGCUAGAGACAAAACAAGUUCUUUACCAUUCCUUAUGCUAGAAAGAAGACAAGUUACUUUCUCUUUAUGAACAUAAUUAAUUCUCUCAAGUCCUUUAAUCCCCUUUUGGAUCCAUUAUUCAGUGUUUCUACAUUUUAGUUUGUAAAAUUGUGAAAAUCUACAGCUUUUUUUCUCUUUCACAUCCAUGCCCUGUAGUCUACAUCUGUUAAAACUGACAACAAGAAUGCAGAAACUAGCCAUCUGUGACUAAUCAAAUGGAAAAGUAUGUAAAAUUUUGUUGUUAGUGUUGAUAAUGAUGUCCUUUGACUUCUUGUUUCACAGUGAGCUAGCAUGCUUAGGAUCUUCUAUGGAGUGCAAUGAACAUUAAGCCUCUUUGAACAACUUGUUCGCUGAUGCCAAUACGUAUAAUCUUUUACUAUUCUUAUCAUUGUUUUGUUACAUAUGCUUGCGUUGAAAAUUUCUAAUUAUUCAUGUAUAUUGGCAAUUUUCUUGUAUUACUGAUAUUUGAUGAUACAUCUUGCAGUUAGAAUCUCAAUAUCUGAUAACCUCUGAGAAUUUCAGUUGCCUUCUUAUGAAUCUCACUACAAAUUAAUUGGAGGCUUGAUUGGCUUCUUCAUUUUAGUUUGUGUAUCGUUGCCAGGGAUCAGUAACAGAUUUAAAGGCUCUUAAUCCAUUGAAACGCAUCAUGGAGUCUCCUGCUGAACAAAGGUAGCUUCCAUCAAACUUGCAGGAUAUAUACAUCCAUAGCUGUUUUGGUUCAUAACUUAUGCGCUCAUAUUACGCAGGAAAUCACCGAACAUUAGCUCAAAAUCUGCUAGUGAUUUGGUACUCAUUUGAUAUAUUUCCACACAUCAUUAAUACAGACUGUGCUUUAGUUAAAAUGAAGAUAUUAUCACGGUUAAUUCUGAUGUUUUCAUUUUUCUUGUUUUUCUACUGUGUAGGUUCCAGUAACUGAAAGUCAGAAAGCUUUAACUGAUAAUACUGUUACUUCAACUGGUCUUAAUGUGAUGGGGAGCAUCUCAGACUUUGAAAUGCCUUCACUUGUUGAAAAUGAUGUAAAUGUGGAAAAAGCUGAAGCUUGUGCAAAAGAGCUUGAUGAUGUAAGUGCAUUAUAUAUUUAGAAUUGAUUCGUUUUGUUUUCUUCAUGAAUACAGAAAUGUUUAGGGAGUCAUUUUAUUCGGCUUUUAAGCCACUGGAUGAGAGAGAGAAGGAUAUCAAAAAUGACUUGAAAGAAAGUUGCAAAGAAAAAUAAUGGUUAAAAUUAGAGUGACAACUGAUGUUGCACAGGAAUGUAAAAUUCAGCAGAAGUAUCCACACUAUAGACCCUAAAUAGCCGAGUAAAAAUGCUUAACUGUUGUCUGUCAUUUGUGUAGAUGCGAUUAAUGGUAUAAAUGAUAGAGUAACAACUAAUGUAUGGGACAUAGAGGGAAAUAGACAAGUAACUUGCUUAUGAUAAUAUGCAUGUACCUAUGGUUUCCUACUGUUUUUGCAGUGAUCAUGAAUGAGCACUCUAGGGAUGUUGAGAACAGAUGCUUUGGUGUUUAUCUUUUGCUUAUUGUGGUUUGAUUAGAUUCUAAGUUGAAAUCAUGGAGUUAAAACAUCAACAUCAAUAUCUAAAGGUUUAACGAUAAGUUGGUCCAAAACAGAAUGUGCACAGUGAAAUUAUUUAAAAUUCGUUUCCUAAUUGGUAGAAGGCAGAGUCAUGUUAACUAGGUGUUUAUUAGGAAAGAAACAAUGAAUAGAAUUAUACGCAACAUUAAGACAUGAUGGUUCAAGUGGAGAGUUAUGCAUUAAGAGUAUUAUUUGAUAGUCUGUUGCAUGGCAUUUUUAAUCAAAAUGAAAAUGUAUAUGAUGGAUAUCGAAUAGUUUAUUGUUCUGUAAAUGAGAAACUAGUACAUAAUUUUGAAUGUAUACGAAAUUACGGCAUCAUAAUUUUUCCAGAUAUGCAACAUGCUGAAAAAGAAGCACGAGGAAGCUAAAGAAUUGCUUGUUCGAGCUAUUGUAAACAACAAUGCAUUGCUGAUGUUAAACCAUCCCAUGUAUGAGGAGAAGAUAUCCUUUACAGCUGUAUCAUUUCGGGAUCCUGCAACUGCAAAUGUGUUUUAUAUAUCUUUUUGCCAGAUAUCAAACUUGUGAUUCCUUCACCAACAGAACAUCCGCGCCCUUCAGAGGUUUGCUACCAGUCUGCACUCCAAGGACUACUCUUUUUGAACUAGUCAGUGAACAACCAACUAAUCCAGUGUAAGCUCUAACUCUUCUGACUAUAUGCAUACAAAAUCUGAAGGCAAUUUACUAUUUCAUGUUGGUGGUCUCAUUACUAUGAUAAAAGUAGAAAGAAUAAUGGCAAUCAACUUUUGAGUAACUGAGUGCUCAUUUUGGACUCGAGGAUAGUUGAUCAAUCAUUCUGCAAUUGGUGAAAACUCAUACUUGUGGAACAGAUUCUAUGGUAAAAAUUAAUGAACUCUUCUGAUCACUCUCUUGAAAGGUUUUCCAAGUCAAUAGUUUUUCCGAAUGCGAAGGAUAAAUUUGCUGGGAAAGAUUGCAUUUAUUUUAAGCCUGAAAGAAAAUAAUAAAUAUAAAUAUGAGGUCUGCACUUCAUGUUAGUAAAUUGUGAAUUGUGGGAGAGAGGGAAAGACCGGACUGCUUAAAGCAAAUCUUCCAUCUUAAAUAUGAUAAUCGUAUAGUUGGAUAAUAAUUUGAAGUACCAUACAGGAGAAAGAGUUCUGACGAGCCUGGAACCUAAAGGAAUUGAAUCUUUAGUAGUAGAUACUAUUGUGGGGCCAAGUUGAAGUAUUAGGCUUAAAAUGAGCUUUACCUAUCAUUUUUUUUUUUUUUUUUUUUGAGAAAUCAGUAGCAUGCCACCGCUUCAUUCAUUAAAGAGAUGAAUUAAGCUACAAAGUGAGGCAACCGGGCCUCCUGAGGAAUAAAAAAAAAAAAAAAAAGAUUAUACACAGAACGCUUUCCAAAAAGAAAGAGACGAACGGACGGUCGAAAGAAGUUGGCUCAGGGUGGCCUUUCGCUUCUCGAAAAUUCUUUUGUUGCGUUCCAACCAGAUAGUCCACCAUAGGGAGGCGAGUGUAGUUGCCUCCCUUCGCCCGAAGGCACCCACAAGCAAACCCUCCAACAAGGAUUUGGUAAAGUCAUACCGUACAAAAAGAUGAUCUACUGUCUCAGGUAUCGUUCGGCAAAAGACGCAAUCCUCUUCCCCCUGCCAGCCCCUUUUUCGCAAGUUAUCCGCCGUUAGGACCCUACGUUUCAAAACUAUCCAGACGAAAAUUUUCACUUUCAAAGGUACCUUAAUAGACCACAAUCGAGAAUAGCUUUUGUCUAUCACUUCGCCAUCUUGUAGGAAGUUAUACAAGGAUUUAACUGAAAAAAUAUCAGAUUGAGCCCAACGCAAUCUAACGACAUCAUGAUCGCCGUUGGGCAUCGUAUCCGUAACAUUCUCCUUCAGCUUCAAAAUUUGUUCUCUCUUGUAUCGAGCUUGGGGUAAAACCGUGCAGGAUCUUGCGCCACUUCCAACCACCUUCGCCGAAACAAGCCUUCACCAAGUAUGAUUUGUUUAGCACACUACUAAAAUUCCAGGGAAUUGGGACUGGAGAGAAAGUUGACCGCACCAAAUGUCCGACCAAAAAUUUACUCUACUUCCAUCACCAAUCGAGAAUGAAAUUCCACAUUUGAAAACCUCCCUAGUCCCUAGGACGUUCCGCCACCACUGCGAGUACGGUCUGAAGGUGGCUCCUUCUCGUAGCGGACGUCUUCUGGAGUAGUACCGUCCUUCGAUGAGAGGUCCCGAUAAGUGAUUCCUGUCAGCGAGGAAUCUCCACCACCAUUUCGCCAACAGAGCCACAUUCAUAUUCUCCAGGUCCUUGACCCCUAGCCCUCCCCCUUCUCUAUUCCUACAAACCGCCUUCUAUUGGACCAGACAAUGACCCCCGACGACAGUAGUCCCCCCUUUCCAAAAAAAAGCUCAACUCAGUGCUUCGAUGCGGCGUAAAACCCAUUUCGGUGCUCCAAACACCGAGAAAUAAUAAAGAGGUAGGUUCGAUAGGACCGAGUUCACAAGCACCAGUCUACCUCCUUGAGAAAGCAGUUUAGUUUGCCACCCCUCGAUCCGCUUCUCAAUUUUACCAAUAAUAGGCCACCAGUCCUCCUUCCUAAGUUGUCUCACCGAAAGUGGGAGACCGAGGUAACGAAACGGGAAGGACCCCCUCUUGCAUCCAAAAAUUCCGACCAACCUGUCCCCAGAGGAGGCCCCUCUACCUAGGUCAAACAACUCGGACUUAGACCUGCUAAUCUUCAGCCUGGAAGCCCACUCAAACAGUUGCCACAAGAACCGUAGGUUUCGCACCUGCCUAUCUUCGGCUUCGCAGAAAAAGAUGGUAUCAUCAGCAUACUGAAUGAUGGCAAUCUUGUUUGCACUAGUUGAGCCUACCCCUCUUAGUAAGUUAUUGGAAACUGCUCUCGUCGUCAGUCUUGCCAACCCUUCUACCACCAGAAGGAAGAGAAAAGGAGACAAAGGAUCUCCCUAACGUAAUCCUCUACGUGUUUUGAUCUAUUUAGUAGGGGUCCCGUUGACUAGGAUAGCCACUUUAGCAUUGGAAGUGCAUUUCUCAAUCCAACCGCACCACAUCUGAUUAGCCCCUAGCCAUUGCAUGAUCUUUCGCAGAAAUUCCCAGUUCACUCUAUCAUAAGCCUUCUCAAAAUCACUUUUAAUACCAACGCUCUCCUCUCCCACAUGUGAGCUUCAGCUAACUACUUCACUAGCCAUAACGAAGGAGUCCAGUAUCAGUUAGCUUUUUAAGAAAGCGGCUUGAGUAGGGGAAAUAAUAUUUUUCAUAACGCCUUCGAGUCUAUUUGAAAGAACCUUAGAGAUGAUCUUGGAUACCCCGUUGAUGAGACUGAUUGGCCUAAAGUCACUAGCAGAAUUGGCAUCCUCUUUCUUGGGAACCAAACAAAUGUAAGCAUAGUCCAAAGGUCCAGGAUUAAAAUUGGUGUCAAACAACUCUUGAAAGAUAAUAUAGAGGUCGGCCUUAAUCACAUCCCAGAAUUUCUGGUAGAACCUUAGAUUAAACCCAUUCCGACCUGGAGCCUUGUCGCUAUCGAGCUGAAAGGUGGCUUUUCUGAUCUCCUCCUCGACGAACGGGGCCGUGAGCAGCUCCGAACUCAGGACCUAACUAUCACGAAAUAAAUCGCUCCAAUCUCCAAAAGUGGAGUUACUGGGGUUGUUCGGGGCGAAGACGUCUUUGAAUUUAGAAUAGAAAUAUUCCCUUUUCUCUUCCUCCCUAAAGAUUCUUCUACCGUCGUCCUCCACCAAGUCAAUAAAGUUUUGUCUUCUUCUUCCAUUCGCCACCGAGUGGAAAAAUUUAGUAUUGCCGUCCCCUUCUUUCAACCAAUGCUGCUUGGCUCUAGUCUUCCACAAAAUCUCCUCUUCUGCCACUAUAGUCAAUAGUUGUUUCUUGAGUUGUUUUCGCUUAUCCUGCUGUCGCGAGUCAAGGCGAAUGCGUUCCUCCAAAAUGUCUAGCUUUUGUAUCUCAGAUAUUUCUUUCUUCGUCUUCAUGAUACUGUGGAAAUUUGUUAAGCACCACUCCUUAAUCCUCUUGCGGCAAUGUCUUAAUUUGGCCGCAAAAGAGAGAAUGCCCGACCUUUGCCGCGGCACUUCGUUCCACCAGGUAGGCAUCAAAUUAUGACUGCCUCGGCACUUCGUUCCACCAGGUAGGCAUCAAAUUAUGCCCGACCUUUGCCGCAACUUUUACCUAUCAAAAUUUUGAUGACAACUGUUAAGUAUUGGUUCCUGGAUUAGGUUAAUUAUGACUGCCUCGGCGUUUAGUCAUGAAAAUCAUGGAAAGGCAGAAUAAUGAUGAUACUAGAAGCCUAAUGGACUGUUUAACAAGAGAAAAAUUUGAUACUUGGGUGGUACAUGUCACUUAACAGAAAAUGUUACCAUUUCUCUAUUUUGAUCAUCACUUGGCUUCCUUCCUUGGAUUGCUUUUACCUUUUAUGCCCAAAAUUGCUAUGUGCUAGACCUAGCAUAUUGUUUGGUUAUGGCCCCUCAUAAUAGGUUACAAUUCUAAUGCAAUUAAAGAAAUUCAGAUUUGAGCAGCUACUCAAGUCUGAAACAGGAACUAGUUGAUUCGAAAUUAGGUAUGUUUGAAUAUUGGACAAAAUAGCAGAUCAGGUACUAUAUUCAAAAUUAACUCUAACAUGGGCCAAAUUCAAAUUUUGUUGGUUUCUUUGGUGCUACUGAAUUAUGUAUUUUGCGUUGAUCUAAUUUUUCACUAUUGGCCGCUUCACAAAACUAUAAAAAUGGUUGAGGAACUGUAGUUGACUUAUUUAGCAAGGGCAAUCAUUCAUUAGUAAAAAUGAAUUUUCAUGCUAUUAAGCUAGUUUUUUUGUUAUUUUAGGUUAGGCAAAGUUGGCUAGCCUAUUGCCAAAGGAUAGGUUUUGAAUUUUUGAAGAAUAAUGUGUCUCUGGCCUGCUGAUGGUCAUGGUUUGAUGGGCUGCAAAUUUGAAAUCAUAGCUUAACAACUCUUCAGUUUAUUAUCAAGUCCUGUCAUUACCUAAUUUUAAUCCAUUAUUAUUCAAACUUGAAGUGCACAAACAACUUUUUUAGAGUAGACCCGCAUAUAGACAAUACAAAAAGAACAGUUUAUUUCUCAAUGUCUGUAGGAUGAGAAAGUGAAAGUCGAUAGUUGCACUUAUAGCACUUCCAUAGAAUAAUAGCAUUGUCGAUCAGGAAUUUUAACAGGAUCUGAGAGUGGGAUGAUCCUAAACUUUAUUAAUGAUUAUCUUGUUUGUCAACGAGUAACCCAUAUGUUUAGUGCCAUGGUCAACCAUUCAGCUAAGUUGGACAUGUGUUGCAAUGGCAACUGUUGUUCUUAUAGGAAAGUCGUCAAUCAUGAAGUUGAAAUUAAGAUUAAAGUCAAUAUUGUUUUUCUAUUUCUAUAAACUAUAGAUGGCAGGGGACAGUAAUCGACAAUUAUGUUAGAGUGCUUAGAAUUGGCCCACACAUUUAGGCCUUCGUAGUCGUAGAAGCUUUUUCCACUAGCGUUUCUUAUUCCUUGCUUAAAAAAUCAAUCACUUUUUACUUUUCCCAGUAAGGAGCUUUUAAACUUUCAAAAAAUUCUAUGCACAUUGGGGAAAGCAUAGAUUGUUUUAUUCUAGCUUCUGAAAGGAACUGAAGGUUUGAUGUCCUAUUUAUAUAUGUAUUUUUGGUUAGAAACUUUAAAUAAUUUUCCUUUGUUUUGAUGUGUUUAUGCCUUACAAUUCUAUGAUUUUAUUUAUUGGUUUUAACUAUCCAUGGUUUUAUUUAAUUACACUGUAAGAACUGUUUGAAGUAGGUUAGAACGGCAUGUGGCAACAUGGGCUUUAGCUUUAUGACAGUAUUGAUUUUUGCCUGUAUGUAUUUUAAAUUGGUUUUUAAUUUCAUGUGUAAUUUCUAGCCUAUCAUUGACGAGACUAAUUCUAGUAAUUUGCAUAUGCACUAAACCAUAUGGGCGUGGGGUGAUUUUUUUUUUUUUUUUUUCGGUUUCCGUGGGGUUGUCCUAUAUGCAUAGACCCGUUAUAAUAGUUAAUUGCAAAGUAUCAUGCUCUCAUCUUUCUAAAUAUUGGUGGUUUUGUUUUAUUGUAUUGGGUCCACCAUUAAUUUGGCAAUGGGAGAUUCUCUUUUUUUUUUUGCUCGUAGAGAAGGUUUAGGUGGUGGACACAAUGGGACAAUAUUUUGUAGGAAUUAGACAACUUGGAAUCGGUUCAACAAAAAACCCUGUCAAGGCACUUUUCUCUAGUGCACAAAGUGUUUACCUUACAAACACACCAACCAUUUUUCGCAUAUAUUGAGAUCGUUCAUAUUUUUUUGGCAUAAGCGCUUUAAUGUGCUUAAAAGCAGAGGGCGAGUGCUUGUCCUUUGACCUAUCGAUGGAGCCGCACCGUCCAAGAAAAGCUUGUCGUUCUUGAUCUUUUUGUAGAUUCACAAAAUUGGGGGGAUCCGGAGGUGUUCAGGGUUUUCUAUAAUCAACUUAACAGCACCAAAAACCGUCCAAAUUGUGUGCACAUCAUCCAUUAUAGUUAAUGACCCACUACUUUAGUGUCUCAAUGUGCACCGAUGUGGUGACUUGGAUCUCUAUUUUAGAGGGUUACUUUAGGAUUAAUUGCAUCAUUGGUCUCCAACCUUUUUACCUUUUUUUCACUUUGGUCCCAAUAUUUUUUUUUUUUUUUUUGCAAUUAAGUAUCCAAACCUUUUAUUUUAUUACAAUCAAGUUCUAGUCCUAAAGAAAAAGGCUAAAUUUGACGGAAUGCGCCAUGUUAGCCCCAGUUAAGCGCUUACGUGGCUUUUUUUGGGAGGUUAAUUUUGUUUGGAUUGGAAUUCAAAGUUUGAACAUGAACUUAUAAUUUGAAAUCAAAUUAUGAGUUAAAAUUCAAAAUUUAAUUUUAAACUAAAAUUAUGAAAUUUAAAAUUAAAUUAAAUUUGAAUUUGAAUUUAAAACUAUAAUUUUGAUUUAAAACUGGUGAGAAAUUUGAAUUGGAUUUGACUUUGAAAUUGAAUUUGAAUUUUAAUUUUGAUAUUUAGAAUUGAUAUAACACUAAAUUUGAAUUAAAAUUCAAUUUAAAUAUUAAUUUGAAUUUCUAUUUUAAUUUAAAAUCUAAAAUAUAUUUCAAAGUUUGAAUUGAAAAUUAGAAUUUGAAUUGGAAUCUGAAUUUGAAUUCAAAAUCCAAAUUUGAAAUUGAAAAUUGAAUUCAAAUUUUGGUUUUGAGUUUCAUAUUUAAAUUUAAAUUCUUACUUUGAAUUUCUGUUUUAAAUUCAAAUUCUAAAUUACAUUUUUAAAGUUGAACUUAAAAUCAGAAUUUAAAUUUGAAUUUGAAUUUUUGUAUUCAAAAUAUGAAUUUGAAAUUGAAAUUUGAGUUCAAAAUUUAAAUUGAAUUUAUUUGACUUGUAACUUUGCAUUCAAAAUUUUUAUUUCGAAAUUAAAAUUUGAAUUUUGAUAUUUCAUCAAUAUUGACUCUAAAUUUGAAUUCGAAUUCAAAAUCUGAAUUUGAAUUUUAUUUUUAAAAUUGAAUUUUAUUUUUAAAUUUGAAAAUUUAAAAUUUAAAACCUUAAUUUGAAUUUCUAUUUUAAAUUUAAAAUCUAAGUUACAUAUCAAAAUUCGAAUUUAAAAUCCAGAAUUUGAAUUUGAAUUUUUGAAUCUAAAAAUCUGAAUUUGAAAACAAAAAAAUCUAAUUCAAAUCUAUAUUUUAAUUUCAAAUUUAAAUUUAAAUUCUUCGUUUAAAUUUCUAUUUAAAUUCAAAAUCUAAAUUACUUUUCAAAUUUUGAAUUCAAAAUUUGAAUCUGAAUUUUUGAAUUCAAAAUCCGAAUGUGAAUUCUAUAUCUGAAUUUGAAAUUGAAAUUUGAAUUAAAAAUCUGAAUUUGAAUUUAAAAUCGAAGUAAAGAUCUGAAUUAGAAGUUUCAAUUUCAAAUUUGAAUUUGAAGAUCGAAUUCAAUUUCAAAUUUGAAUUUGAAAUUCAAAAUCAAAAAAUAAAAUUAAAAUUUUGAAUUUGAAUUCAGAAUUAAAAUUUUGCUUUGAAAUUCAAAUCUAAAAUCAAUUUUAAAUUUUAAAUUUGAACCAAAAUUAAAUUUGAAAUUUCAAAUUUAUAUUAAAAUUAGAAUUUAAAUUUGCAAUUUGAAUCCGAGAUAAAAAUUUAAAAUAAAAUUUAAAUUAGAAAAUCUAAAAUUUCAAAUUUAAUUCAAAAUAUAAUUUAAAUUUCAAAUUUGAAUUUAAAAUAUAAAUUUAAAAUCAAAUUUAAAGUAAAAUUGUUUAAUUAGCUGGCAUUGUUGGGUGUUUAGCUAGUGCUGACGCGGCACAUUCCAAUAAUUUAAAUGGGCGUUUCAAUGACUUUGAUCUAUUUAAAAUAAAAUGAAGAGUUUAGAGACUUGAUUGAGGGGAAAAAAAAAGAUUUUGGGGGCCAAAUGGAAAAAAGAUGCAUAAGUUGACCAACAAUUUGUCCAUUUCAGCCCUUUUCUUCUUAUUUUUGCAAUUAAGAUUUCUGACCUUCUGCAAUUUGUUUUUUUUUUAAGUUUCUUCUGUAAAAAAUUCUAUACAUCUUAACCCAAACUGCUAUGUUAGGACAAAGACCAAUUAACUUCAUAAUGUAGCCUUGCAAUGUAUUAUCUCUUAUUUUAGGAGUAAAAUCAGAAUAAUUUUAAAAGUAAAUGAGGUAGUUUACUUCUAAUUAAUUUCUGAAAAUGGGCCACCUAAAUUAACGACCACAUUAUUAAACUUGAUAUAUUAUUUGAACUUUCUAGAAAUUAAAUUUUCUGAUAUUAUGACUUCAUUUGUAUGGUGAUUAUGUGGUUUCAAAUUCAUUUUAUAUUAGUUAUUAAAAAUUAUCAAUUUUGAAACCUAUUAACUGUUAGGCAAAUAAUGUUGAAAAAUCAUAAAAUUUGAAUCUAAAAUGUUCAAAUACAAAGUUUAAUAGUGUUGAUUCGGUUGUGUCGUCAUCGAAAUUAAUGCAAAAAAAUACACGGCCUUAUUUGCUUUUAGAAAUAUUAUAAUGUUGCUCUAUAUUUUUCUUUUUGGGAAUCUCUCUACUAUUUUCAGGUUAGAAAAAAAUGUAUUAUAUACCAAAUUUAUGUUCGCCCAGUGGCUUAGUACUAUGGUUCCUUUUCUGGUGCUUUACAUAUGGAAGAUAAUGUUUUAGUGUUCCAAAUUUAGUCACUGUUGGACUUGAUUAUGGUAACUUUCAAUUGUGGCCACACUUCUGCUGAUAUCUACAAAGUAGGAUGCGUAUUCUGGACAUUACCGACCCAUAUGUCUCAAAAGCUAUCGGGCUUUUCCUUCUUUUCUUUUUCCCCUUUAAUCUUCGGGUCAAAUUAACAAUUAAAAAUGAGUUGGUUCCUACGUGGUGCCGACGUUGACUCCAUUUAUCCAUUGGAUAUAUCUAAAUGGUGUUUGAUUCACAUUCAUGCCACUCAAAAUUUCUAAUUACUUUUCUCAAGCAAGCAUCCAAUGUAAGAUUCUCUUUUGUACAUGGGCAGCACAGUUAGCAUAGUCGGUGCGAGCUUAUAGGCACGGACAGCAUAUGUCCAUUAUGUUAGGCUGAGCUAAUUGACACAAAAGUCUUGUUCUUUUUUUCUUGUUUACGCAUGUAUUUUUGCAUAGAUUUUUCUAAGUGUUGUUUGACAAUAAAGUAAAAGACAUUUCACAUUUAUGCUAUUCAAAAUUUCUAAUUUCUUUUCUCAAGCAAGGAUUGCGGUAUAAGGUUCUUUUUUAUUCGUGCACAAAUACAAAUACUGAUCAUGCUGUGUAGUGCUGACUGGCACAAAAAUAUUAUUAUUAAGUAUUUGCCUAUAUUAUUUUUGAAAAAAUUGAAGUAUUUUACUUGUCAUGCAAUUAAUCUUGUCUAGUCCAACUUAUCUCAAAACUAUCUUUAAUUGUAACCUUAUUAGGCUCAUCUUUCGCAGCCCUACUUCAGUUGUUUCCAACUUUUCUUUUGGGGAGAAAUUUCCAACCAUUCAUCUCAUCACUGAUUUGUUGCGCUUCUUCUGGGUAGUAUUUCUCUUCAUCAUUUUCCUAUCCUCUCUAUCAUUCUUCCAAAAUCAAUCAUAAUCCCCUAUUCCUCUUAUUUUGCAUCGCUUCAUCCAAAUUCAUUCUAAAGUUAAAAAGUACAAAAUGAAAAGCAGGGGUUGCAAAUAUAGUUAAGAGGAAGAAGAUGACAAUGGAACUAAGGCUGGAACUUUGUUCCUCUUUCACGGGGUGAGACAUCGUAGGGACUGGAGGUUCUGGUGAUGCUCUUCUUUCUAUUUAUUAUUCUCUUUUAGAUAGGAGUAUAUAUUUAGGAGAUGAUAAAGAAAUUUGCUUCGUUCUUUAGCUAAUCCGUCGAGUGGAAAUGCAUUUGAGGGCCAUUACAACUUUCAUGUUAAUCUAAACUUCUGUUGUAUAGUUGGCCAUGAUUCAGAUAUCAAUCCUUGCAGAUAGAUGCACACGUAGUGAUGAGUGGAUAUACACCUCGUACAUCUCUCAUAGAUUGUACCAAAAAAAAAAGAGGAAAAAAAAAUUGGGUGAUGUAAAGUGAAAGGGCUCAAAUCUUUUUUUUUCCUGAAUGGAAGGCCAAACAUAUGAUACAAUCAUGCUUUUAAUUUGUGAACUCAAGUAUUUUGUUCUAAUUGCAGCUAUAGGAAGCUAUUGAAUUGGCGGCAACUGUCGGCGUUGCCCACUGAAUUUUAAAUAUUCAUUUACACCUACCCUCAACGUCUAUACCCAAUAAGCUCUUACUUGUGCAUAUAUAUAGGGUGCCAACCACUGCUUUGAUGCUACAUUCUUCAGUACUGAACUUCAGCAAUAGCCUCCUAACUGAACUGAAGCAGGAGAUAUAUAUGGCGUGUUUGAGAGCCAAGCACAUAUUUUUCCUCAUCUUGCUUCUAUCACUUUGUUUUUCGACAGCCCGAUUGUUGGACCGCAAGGAGCUCAUGAAUGCGUCUGAAGAGUCGGAGGCCGGCCUGACGACGACGGUCUUCAGAGGACGGUCUGGAGGAGAAGACACGGCUGACAGCAUCUACGAUUCCAAGCGGCUGAGCCCCGGCGGCCCAGAUCCUCAGCACCAUUCCAUGGGUCCCUACUCAUAUGCAGUUUCGGUUCACAGUAGACCAUGAAAAAUUCGUGUUUUCGUAUUGCCAUUGCGUCCUUGUAAUUGGUAGUCCCAUUUGACUCCGGCAAUAUAAUGAACUUUCUUCUGGUUUCGAUUCACUGUAAGGAAUUGGGAUUCGCUGUGGCAUAAUAAUUUUCAUGUUGAUGGUUCCACGAAAGCUCUAGUUCCAUUGUCUCUUAUCCUUUGUAUUGGUCGUCUUAUGUUUCUGUAGUCGGUUUCUAUUACGAAGAUCGAAUUCGCCUGGGUUUUGAGUAAAGGUGCCUUCAUUCCAGUGUUUCGUUUUGUUCUUACUUCAAACGAGAAACAACAAAAGAACGAAUUCGAUUUUGAUUUCACUACGACUCUCUAAGCAGCAACGAGAAUAAAUACGUUUAUUAAGGCUUCCCCAGCUUUUCCCCAUCUGGCUUUACUGUUAAACCGCCGCCAUUAGCAUAACAUAGAAAAGGCCCACGUAAAACCAGUGCUCAAAUACACGUAUAUUCUCGCAAACUAUGAAUAGUUGUACAGUAUCAUAAACACUACGUUUACUUUUUUUUUUUUUUUUUUUGAGAAUAGGUAGCUCGCUACAUGCUUCAUUCAUUGAUGGAUGAACUAGGCUACAGAGGUGAGGCAACUAGGGCCUCGGAAAAAACCAAAAAACAACUAGGGCCUCNAAAAAAAAAAAAAAAAAAAAAAAAAAAAAACCAGAAGGUACACGUGGUCUAAUGCCAUCAGAGGAGGAUUUCCCACGAAAGUAACAACUGCUUUAUCCUCUGUACAGCCAAAAUCGGAUCUAGUAGGAUGUUUCGAAAAAUCAGAUCAUUUAUGAUCUUUCAAAUGGUUCGCCAACAAGCAAUCAGUUCCGGGAGUCUGUUGCUCUUGUUAUACCGUCCUUUGCUGGUCGCCCACCUAUCCCAGACAUGAUACAUGUCGUCACCUAGCUUACCCCCUUGCACGCCCUCCACCCCCAUGACCAUGAUGAACUUGGUAAAAACAGAUGGUCCACUGACUCAUCAUGGGCAAUGCAAAGCACACAAAGUGUGUUGCCAGUCCACCCUCUCUUUACAAGGUUAUCAGCUAUGAGAGGCUUUUUCUUUAGGACAAUCCAGGAAAAUACUUUGACCUUUAGAGGUAUUCGGAGGCUCCAAAUCUUGGUAGCCCGUCCGUCCCUCGUUCCCCCGUCACUCAACAUGCCGUAGGCCGAUUUGACUGAAAAAUCGCCUUUGGCUCUCCAUCUCCACCAUAACCUAUCCGGUCUCUGCGCGACUUUAUACAUACCAAUCUCAUUCUUGAGAGCCAACAGGUUGGCUGACAGCCCUGUUGUAGAAGCGAACUCAUCGCCCAGAAUUCUAUCCCAUCUCCAGUCCUCACUAUCGAAACAAUCCCCAACCAAUAGGGGUUUACGAUUCGUCAUCGCAUAUAUCUCCGGAAAUGACGUUUCAGAGCGGAUUCCCCGCACCAUCGAUUAGACCAAAAGUCUAUAGAGCUCCCAUUGCCCAAUUUAUAGGAUAUUCCCCAAUUGAAGAUAGCAUUGGUGGUUAGGACUCCCUUCCACCAAAACGAGAAGGGUCUAAAACUUUUUCCUUCCUUUAGAGGUCGUCUUCUUUGGUAAUAUAAAGCUCGGAUAAUCUUGACCCACUGCAGGUGUGGAACUGUGUGAAAUCUCCACCGCCAUUUGACCAGGAGAGCCCGAUUCAUGAUAUCGACAUCCAGAAUACCAAGCCCGCCUUCGAUUUUGCUCACACAGACGUUCUUCCAUGCCACUAAACAUCCCUUGCCAGUGGAAUUCCUAUUACCCUUCCAGAAGAAGUCUCUACGUAUGGCUUCAAUACUCUUAAUUACCCAUUUAGGCAUCUUAAAAACCGAAAGAAAGUACAGCAGUAGAUUGGUAAGAACGGCAUUGACCAAGAUGAGUCUACCCCCUCGUGAUAGAAGCUUGGCUUGCCAUCCAUCAAUUCCAUUCAGCAAUUUCUGAAUGAUCCCUCUCCAUACCUCCUUUGUGGGGGGUUUAGGGGAAAGAGGGAUGCCUAGGUAAGUGGUAGGGAGAGUACCCACUCUACAGUCGAGCAGCUGCACGAGCCUUUCCGCUUUGCCCUCAUUCUGUCCAAGGUAGUAUAGUUCGGACUUCUCACUAUUAAUUUUCAUCCUCGAAGCCCACUAAAAAAGACACCACAUCAAGCUGAGAUUUCGCAUAUAUUUUUUCCUAGCCUCCGAGAAGAAGAAGGUAUUGUCCGUGAAUUGGGUGAGGAUAGUUUUACUUUCGUCAGACGGCCCAAUACCCAUGAAGAGGUUAUUAGAAGUGGCCUCAUUGGUCAUUCUGGCCAAGCACUCCGCCACCAUGAGGAACAGGAGUGGUGAUAACGGAUCUCCUUGGCGAACUCCUCUCUUCAUCUUAAUCCACUUGGUCGCCUCACCAUUGACCAAUAUGGCUACUUUCGCAUUGCACACACAUUGCUCGAUCCAUUCACACCAUUUUAAAUCAAAUCCCCACCACUGGAGGACAUUGAAAAGAAAGGGCCAGUGUAUCCUAUCGUAAGCUUUUUCGAAGUCUACUUUUAUACCGACCCCCUCGAUUUUCUUCUUACUACCCUACCCCAGGAUUUCCGAAACAGUAACGAAAGCAUCAGUGAUGCUCCUCCCUUUCACAAAUGCUGAUUGAGUGGGGGAAAUUAGGUCACUCAGAACCCCUGCGAGUCGAUUGGCUAAAACCUUCGACAGUAUUUUCUGGAUGCCGUUGAGGAGGCUAAUUGGUCGAAAGUCAUUCGCUCUCUCGGCCCCUUCCUUCUUCGGGAUUAGGCAGAUAAAGGUAUAGUCGAUUGGUGACGUAGACAUCGUACCCUCGUAGAAUUCCUAGAACAGGUUGAGUAAAUCACUCUUAAUGGCAUCCCAAAAGAUUUGGUAAAACCUUAGUGGGAACCCAUCCGGGUCCGGAGCUUUAUCACUUCCCAGUUGGAAAACCGCUUUCUUUAUUUCACUAAUGCUGAAGUGUUCUGUUAGCCUCCUGAGCAUAGGAGCCGAAACCCGCUUUGUGGAAAAAAACCCACUCCAAUCCCCGAAAGCAGCCGACGUCGUCACGUCUGGCGAGCAAAGCUCUUUAAAUUUAAGAUAAAAGUAAUCCUUUUUGUCCUUCUCUGUUUGGUAUACGAGUCCGUUAUCGACAACCACCCCAAUCCCGUUGGCUCUUCUUCUUCCAUUAGCUAUACUAUGGAAGUAUUUAGUGUUGGCCUCGCCCUCCCGUAACCAGUGCUGAUUAGCCCGGGAUCUCCACAGGGAAGCUUCAUCGUUAAUAACACGUCUUAAUUUCUCUUUUAACUCGUCUCUUUUCGUGAUCAAUUAUGUUGGUAAUACACCUUGUUUCUCAGCAAGGUCUAUCUCUUGUAUUUCACCCAUUAGGGAAUUUUUUAGCCCUCUAAUACUGUAGAACUCGUUAUUGCACCAUUCUUUAAUAUACUUUUUAUCGAAGAGAAAUGUUAUGUUUACCUCUAUAGUAUAAGUGUAAUAUUUACACUCUUGGCUUUCUAUGACUAGAAUUAACUCAUUAGGUACGUGAGGGUUUAUGAUUUACAGCUUUAUGCGUCAUGCACAGGUAGCAUUUUUCUUUAGAGUAUCACAUUCCAUGAUUCCCUCUUCCACUAUCAAGGAGAGUGCUCUGCAUCAUGCUCCCAUGCAUGCAUGGAUCGCAUUAUCUUCAUCUAUAAUAUACUCGGAGCCUGAUCUCCUAUAGACUAGUAAAAACUCAUUAACACAUAAAUAAAGUGCGUUUUUUGCAUAAUCAAUCCUAAGGAACUUUGUUACCAAGCUCAUUUGUUUAUACGCGCGUUUCAAGUUCACUAGCCGUUAGAGUUCGGUACUGAAAAAGGGUUCAUUAUUCAAAUACUUUUUAGUGGUCACAACACUCUUAAAUAUAAUUUAUACCAAGUUAGUUGGCUUUUCAUAGAUGAUAAGACUCUGUUUGGGAUGAUAGGAAGAUUGUGUUACGUACAGUAAAAAAAUACUCUAUUUAUUUUAGUUCUACGAUCCUACCAAAAAGCAGAAAAAUAUAUUUCUAUAUACUUUCGUCUCAACUCUGUUUUGCAUACCAGCAUUAGAUGGGCCUAAAUACUAAAUGAGCCCGAAGAUUUAACUAGCAACUAAGCACUUUCUUAACGAUGCUUUGGUGACGUACAAAAGGCGAUAAGUACUAAGAAAAGUUCUAUAGAAAAGCCUAAUAAGCUCCAAAUUUUCGCUUGUCAUAGGUUGGACUCACACUUUUGGUUGGUAUGUGUUGUAAGAGUUGCAACCUUUUUCUUUUUCUUUUUUUUUCUGGCUAAUUAAGUUAAGCCAAGUUGGCUUACAUUAAUACACCAAAAUAGAAGAGAAAGUGAAAACGUCUUUGCGUUCGUGUAAAUCCUCGCACAUUGGUUCUUUAGAUUUUGGGACCACCUUAGUUUACAUCAAAAGUAUCCAAUCUUUUCUCUUUUCAAUUUAACUGUAACUAAAAUGCAGUGCACAAAUUAUAAAGGUGGAGAGUUAUCAUCUGCAUCCAUAUAUAUAUAUACAUCUUGUGCACCGCACUUUGUAUUUGAUUAUCAAUUGUCUAUGAAAUUUAUAUUCGGACAAUUUAAGUUGACUACUAUUAGCUAGUCAAAAGCUAAAAAAUAAUAAUAAAGAAUGCAUGGUGGUGAUAUAUAGAUGAAUCUUACUAUUGAUGCCAAAAUAUUAUUUUGUAAUUAAAAUAAACCUCCCACUACAACAAAAACGGUCUAUAGUGACACUUUUAAAUAUAGGUACAUGUCAAAAAAGUGCUGCUAGCUAAAAUUACCGAUACUUUUAAAAAGUGUUGCUAUAUAUGGGGUCGCUAGGUAUAUAGUGACAGUUAAAGAGUAUCGCUAUAAUCUAAAAGAGUGUUGCUAAUUUACCAACACUUAUUUAAGUAUUUAGCAACCGCCGAAACUCUAUCUCGUUGGUUGCGGUGGCAAAGGAGGACGACAGUAAAGACUCUUCGUCUAGAAUUUCAGUGGAUUAAGUGAAGAGAGAAGAAAAGAUGGUAAUUGGUUUUUCUUUUUUUUUUUUCUGUUUGUAAUCGGACCAAAUGGACUGGAUGUGGUGGGUUGAAUAGAGUAAUCUUUUAUUUUUGGUUGGAUUGGGCUUUAUAUUUAGACAUUAGUAGAUGUGUUUUUAAGUUUUAGCAUAAAUGGGACACUUACUCAAAAGUGUCCUAAACAUGUGUCCCUAUAAUCUAAUUCUAUUGUAGUGUCCUUUACUGCAAUGAUUCAGUAAAGAACCAUUCAAUAAUUUUUAUACUUUGAAAUUUGGAUGUAUUAUUUAUUUUUGAGUACGCGUCGACUCAACAAAUUAAACUCGGAAAAUAACUCAAGUAGUUCGUGAAUAGAUAAGGUUAUGGCUAAGGAUAAUGUUUAUUUCCACAAUAAAAGUGUUCUCGUGCAAGUCAAAGCUUAUCGUGUUUACGUGCACGACCCACUCGCGUUGUUAUAUCGCCAUUUGUCUUUGUGUUAGUACGGAGAACUCACUUUUAUUCCACGCCUGUACAAUUCAACUAUAAUUUUGAAACUCAGACCUCAUGGUGUUCUUUUUAUUUUUUUUAAAUAAAAGUUUUAUUUAAGUGCGCACGUUGAUGCAUGCAUGGCUUUUUUAUUUUUUAUUGUUGGCAUUCCGUCAAACCGAAUCGGAUGCAUCUCUAUAUAUAAUCGGGUCCGAUUUGACGGUUAUUAUAUUAUCUAAUUAGACUAGUUUUAAUCUCGUUUUUAAUUCGAAAAGUUAAUUAGAGAUAUAUUUUAGCCAUAUUAAAAUUAAAAACUGAUUUAGCCUAAUUUUCUAUUUUUCUAUUAGGAUGUUGGGAAACCUUAUAGAUAUAUAUUCCGGCAAUUCUUUUAUAAAACAUGAACGAGAAAAAAAAAAAGAAAAAAUACUCAGAAAUUUGUGAGAAAUUUAUGCGACAUUUUGUGGGAGAAAAAAAUCACAUUCUUCAUUAACUUAUUAUUUUUAUAGGGUUUUGAACGGUAGAUUAUAAAUUUAGCUCGUUCGUAACUCGAUCUGCGGCAGGUUGGAGUGUCAGAAAAUCUUCGUGGACGGUCCGAGAAUACAUAAAUCAACCUUUACGAUUCAAAACCUAUCGCAUUUUAGUGCGAAUCGCUUCUGUUAAAAUAGGAACAAAUAUUUUCGCUAUGUUCUAUAUUUAUUAUGAUAGUUAAGUUAAAAUACAGUUCAGUCAGACAAGAGAUGACAGAGAGCUCACUCAAUAAUAAUAAUAAUAAUAAUAAUAAUAUAUAUAUAUAUAUAUAUAUAUAUAUAUAUUGCUGCCAAACAAACACAUUGGAUGUGAGAUGCAAGCAAUUUAUUCUCUACUCAAUUACUCGUACACUCGUUCAUGUAAAAAUUUUAUUCAAUAAAAAAAAAAACAGUUUCAACAAUGUCAAAGCCCUUGAAACUAUUAUUUAAUUACUAGCUCCAUAGCAUUUAGUAAUCUUUAGUAAUGCUUCUAUACAUGUUAGAAGCAUCAAGGUCAUUUAUUUUGUCCAACAAUUCUAAAGCAUGCUGCAAUAGAGCGAUGAUCAUAUCCCUUGAUUAUAUAUGUUGUGAUUAUUGAACGUUUUGAUCUCUAAAUAUUAAGGUUAACCUAAUAAGAAACAGUUGAAGAGUAUUCGACACAAAAUGGUAGAUGAAUCGAACUUCGAAUCUCUUAAAACCAAGAUAACUCGGGGCCGAUCUAAUGCAUAUAUGCUAUAUAAACCUAAAGAAUGCGGGAUUUAGUCUUAACGUAAAGUUCAAACAUGGCUUCUUUAAACACUCCCUCAACAAUGGUUACUAUAUACUAGUGUAGUGACCCGCGCGAUUCGACAAGUAAAUAUAUUAUAAUCUUUUAAAAUUUAAAUUUUAAAUCUUAUAUUUCUAUAAGUUAUUUUGUAGAAAGUAAAACACAUUUACUUUAAAAGUUUUAGUAAUUUUAAAGUAUAUUGAAAAGUAUGAAGAUUUUUUUUUUUUAACAUUUUAGUUUUUUACAUUGAAGCAUCACAAUAGAUAUCAAAUCACAUCUAUUUCCGACAAUUUAAUUUAGAUGCCUUAUUAUAUAGGUAGUGACGUGUAGAUUUAAUCAGAAACAAUAGAAAAUAUAUUUAGCAAACAAAUUUCAAUAUAUCCAUUAGAUUGCGCUAAGUAUGGCAUUAGUUUGUAUAAUAAUUAAUCAUUUCAAAAAUUCUAAACCCUAAUAUAAACAAAUCUAUCAAAAUUUUCAGUACAAUCAAAUCAUUAUACAAUCUAUAUCUAUACCUAUACAUUAUUUUUCAUGAAGUCUUGCCACGUGGCGGUCCCUCCUUUAUCCUUAACCUUCUCCUCUCUUCUCUAAUCACAACCCACACUCUUCAUCUCCCCACCGAGUUACUAACGCAUCAUUAAUUUUAAUAAUUACGAUCUUAAACCCACAUUCUUCAUCUCCCCACCAACAAGUUACUAACGCAUCAUUAAUUUUAAUAAUUACGAUGAUCCACACAAUUAGCAUCACUAAAACCCCAUCAUCAUCAUCUCCUCAUUCUCCGAAACCAAAUACCACACUCCAACAAUGUCCUAUGUUACAAACCAACUCUUCUUUCUAUUAUUCUUAUUAUUAUUCUCGAACGCGAGUACGAACCCGUCAACGCCAUUCGGGUCGAGCCAUGAUUGUUCGGGCGCUUUGUUUAGGUUCAGCGAAUGCUUAGAGUUUGUGGAGGGCGGGGCGAACGGGGCCGAAUCGGGGUUGCUGCUCCGGGCUCGGUCACGUGCUUAGCCGGAGCGUCACGUGCCUCUGCUAGACCAUACGAGAAGGGGCGAGGCUAGACGUAUCCGUGAACGUCACCAAAGCUCUCGCUUUGCCCUCACUUUGUGGGCUCUUCUACACGCUAAUAGUCCCCUAUUACAAAAGUAAGAGGUGUAUUUUUUUUAUGGUCCAAUUUCAUAUAUACAAAUUGCUUUCAUAAGAAAAAAAAUAAGUAAAAUAAGAUUUCUUCGUACUAUUUUUUUUUAUUUUUUUGGCGCAUAAGAAUGGUUCAUAUUUUAUAAUUUUUUAAAAUUUUUUUAACUUUUUGUUUUUAAAUUGUAUGUGUACUGAAAUUAGGGUUUCGUGGAUUAUAGUGCAGCAUCGCGGGGGAAAGCGAAGAUAGAUUUGGAGUCAAUGAGAGGAAAGAAGUGGUAGGUUUGGAGAGAUAUGUAGGGAAUCAACGUGGCUGUGACGAAAAAGAAGCUCAACGUUGAUAAUGGCGGCAAAGGUAAUGUGGAGAUGGGGAUUCGUCUUCCCGAUGUCGGUAGUGCGAUUAAGAUGCGUAUGGAGUAAUAAUUCUAUUGCUGCUUUUUUUAUUACUAUUUUUUAUAAUUUAUUUACUGAACUUAUAAAUUUUGUUACAUUUGUACGUAUAUCUGUUUCAUCUCUUUUAUUUGUGUAUAUGUUAAUAUAUAUUAUCUUUAUUUAUUAAUGUCUUAUGGCAAUUCAAAAAAUUUAAAAUUUUUACUUGUGAAUCUUCUGUUUUCUAUAUAUAGCAUCAGCCUGCCGCAAUGCGUGGGUAACUUCACUAGUGGAUACAUUAUAAUUUGUAAAUAAAUCAAAUCAUUAUACAAUGGAGACAUUAUGAUUUAUAAAUAAAAAUAAAUAUAAAAAUUUAUAAUAUAAUAACCAAAAUGCUGGAAAUAAAUAUUAAAAAAAUAUAGAAAUUCUAAAAAAAAUUUACCUUAAAUUGGAAGAGUCGAAUCCCACAUAAUUUAAAAUAUAUUAUACGGUAGAAAAAUCUAAAUAAACAAAUAAAACAUCAAAUUCAAAUAAAAAAAGAACCUUUCAAAUUAAUCGUUAUAUCAAUUUUCUUGAGACAAAGUAAACAAUAUUUAGUACAUCAUUUCUUAUUCAUCCAAAAUGAGUAUGAGUACAACCCUUUGUAUAGACUCUAAAUUGACAUUUCAUAUUCUAAGAUGACUUUUUAUUUUCUUUUAUUAGAAUAUAUGGCUUUUCAUAUUCUCAACUUUUUAAAUUUUUAGAUAUAUUAAGUUUUCCAACCUUUUAAUUUCUAAUUAAUUUUUAAAAAAUAAUAAAAAAAAUUGGUGGGACCCACAUUCUUAAUUUAAGGGGUAGUGCAUGGGGCCACAUUUCCAAAUUAAAAAAAUGAUGAUCUAUCCAUAUAGAAAAAAAAAUGAUGAAAGAAAAAACACAAUUAAUUUGAAAAAAUAAAAAAAUUGAUGGGACCCACACCCUCAAAUUAAGGUGGUUGGGUCACAUCAACUUUAAGAACAUGAGGAUUCAUAAUUUUAUAUAGAUAUAUAGAUAUAGAUAUAGAUAUAGAUAGCUAUCAUUUCAAAUUUCAAAAUAGCUAGUAUAAUAUAAUUCUAAAGUGAUCGACCGUCCCUAGAGCAAGUGGCAAAGGGUUUGAUGGUUGGUACCCGAGACCCAAGUUUGAAUCCUAAUUGAUUCACAUUUCCAGCUAAAUUUAUUUUUAAAUGAAAUAAAUGAAGCAGGUAGCGUGUUAUCCAUCUCUUAAAAAAAAAAAAUCUAAAGUGAAGCGAACCUUUCUCUUUGCAUGCAUGCAUGCAUGUGCAUGCAUUUUACAAAUUAAAUUUUUUAGGUAGAUAGAGUUAGUAGACCAUUCGACUACUGGUCGGUGAAGGAUAAGAUUCUUACAACAUUUUCACUAUAUAUAGCUUGUCGACCUACUAUAGGCAUGCUACUAAAGGCAAGACGAGGGGAUUAGUUCUUAAUUACUAGGUAAAAGUGUUUUAGCUUAUCUGAACCAUAAUAUUUUUUACUCUGACUGCCUAAUUUUUAAAACUUUUUAUUUGGUUUUUGAGCCAUUUAAUGACUCUUUUCACUUUAAAUUUGAAUGCACCAUCUAAUUUUAUGAGCUUUAGAUAUUUGUGGAUUGAGAUUUCAUGUGAUUACAUUUCUAUUAAAGAAAACAGUGCGCUCAAAUUUUGCAGCAAAAAAUGUGGCUCAAUUUAACUAAACCAAUACAAAUGUGAGGCACUAAAAUUAAAAACUUUAAAGAUUUAGUAGUGAGAUUCAGUUACGUUCCAUGCACUUUUAUCAUUUAGUUUAGGUAAAAAUGUAUAAAACAUAUCUCAACUAUCAUCUGUUUUAAUCUAACUAUAAAAUUUUUAAUUUUACUAUCUAAUCUUUGAAUUUAUUUGAUUUGAGUCAGGUAGUGAUCCUUUCUAUUCUUUACAAAUUUUAUUAAUAUAUUUUCAUGUAAUUCAUGCACGUAACUAUAAUUUCAUUAAAGUUAGCAAUUAGCUUAAAUUUGGUAUCCAAAAAAUAUCAAAUUAUUUAAAUCUAACAAUUAAAUUGAAAGAUUGUGCAUUAGAAUCAAAAUUUUGAAAAACCGGAUAGUGAAAUCAAAAUAGUCUAUAGUUCAGAUAAGUUGUACAUAUAUAUUUUUAUCUUUAUUUUAUUUGAAGAGUGGCUAUUAAUUAAACGAUAGAACGUCAUAAAAUAAGAAAUUAGGGUUUUAUUAGGGUUUUAGAGUGGUUACCCUACACGACACUGCGUGGUGGAAUUGCCGUCCUUAUGAGCCAAAAAGGAACCGAGCCUGCUCUACUAUACGUACAUGUUGUUUAGAUGGAUAAACUUAAUUAUAUAGUAUAGUAUAGUAUAGUAUAGUAUAGUAUAGGUGGCUACUGUUUCCAAAAGAAGGAAAAAAAAAAAGAAAAAGAGCAUGUUGUCUGGAUAGAUAAACUUAAUUAUAUAUUACAGGUGGUAACUGUUUGAAAUAAUUUAUUACGGGCUGUUAUAUAUGGUGGGAUUAAUUAUGUCGCUAGUAGGUUUAUGACUUGCUUGGAUAUUUGUAGGCUGGCAAUUUAGCUCGUUGUUCACAAGUCAACUCAUAAUUGGCUUGAAAAUGCACUCGACAUUGAUCACUCAUUUGGUAAAUGUGUCAAAUAUGAGCUAAAUUUUAUGUAUAUAGAAUCUAGCUAUACUAUCCUAUUAAUAGGAUGGAGACCUUCGUCUUAUCAAGUCGUUCUUAAUGAUAGAGAUGCCGAAUCGAUAAUCCGAACUAUUAAAAUUGAUCUAGGGUAUUUGAAGUAUCUAGAAACUAAAUUUUAGAAAUUUUAAAAAUUAUUUACAUGGUGAUCAAAGGAUCGUAAAAUCGACAAUUUUUAACGACCUACAUGAACCGUUUGCUUAUUUAACGGUGCAGAACAAAUCCAAAUUGUUUGAAUUUUUGAUAAAUUUUGUUUAUACUAUUUAGAUAAUAUUUGAUAACUCUGAUCAUGAAUUGAGAAAGUCUAAUCUCUAUUUUAAGAAGGAUAUUCAUUUAUGACCGUUCAUUUUUCGACUAUUCGAUAGACUUGAUAAUGAUUUUUAAAAAUUACAAAAUUCAGUUUUUAAAUAUUUUUAUAGUGUAGAUUAAUUUCAACGGUACCGAUUAUCAAUUUGGAGUGUCGAUCAUUCAAAACAACUUGAUAGGACAAUGAUCUCAAUCCUAUUAAUAGGAUAGUAGCUGGACUCUCUCUCUCUCUCUCUCUCUCUCUCUCUCUCUAUAUAUAUAGAGAGCUAGGCUGGUAUACUAUCAGUAGCACGGAGGCCUCAGUGCUACUAAGUUGUUUUCAAUGAUGCAGCUUCCAAAUCGACGAUCGGCUCCGCUAGACUUGAUCUACACUAUUGAAAGUAUUAGGAAACUAAAUUUCAUAAUUUUUCGGCAUCAUUUGGCUAGUUAUCAAAAGGUCUCAAAAUUGACAAUUUUGAUGGUAGAUGUGAUGUGUUUGUGAAUUUAACGGUGUAAAACAAUUCAAAUAUGAUGAAAUUUUUAUAAAUUUUUUUUUUUCACUAUUUAGAAUAAGAUCAGUACCUCUGAUCUUAAAUUCAAGUCUUUUAUCAUCAUUUUUUAGGAAAACUACUCGUUUGAUAGAUAAAUAAUAUCGAAAAUUUAUGAAAUUUAAUUUUCAAAUAUUUUCAAUAGUGUAGAUCAAGUCUAACGGAGCUAAUCGUCGAUUGGGAAGCCGCAUCAUUGAAAACAACUUAGUAACACGAAGGCCUUCGUGCUAUUGAUAGUAUACCAGCCUAGCUCUCUCUCUCUCNAUAUAUAUGUACUAUUUGAAUUUUAGCUCAAUCCAAAUGUGAGGUGGCCUUUAUUUUUGUGAAUUUCAAUUAUUAAAUUAAGAUUCUAAUUUUUUAAUUUUCUUUCAACUUUUUACCUUACAGUAAGGCUAACAAUCUAAUUUGAUGUUUGCAACCUAGCUCGUGAUUGACCCAUUAAUAAAUGAGCUGAAUUUGUUAGCUCGAUAUGUUAAUAGGGUAGUUCGUGUUCGACUUGUUUAUUAAACGAGUUGAAAAUGAGCUGCCCCAGCUCGCUCGUAUUUGACUCGUUGACAAUCCUAGAUGUUGGAAUGUGCUUACUGUAUUUAUAAGGGCUCAAUUUAGACAUCUGAAUAAAUUAUCCAAUGAUAAUUUAUUCAACAUAAAAAUGUUUCUAUGUGAUUUGAAACAACUAAGUUUGACAUUGACUAGUGUGGUUAAGUAGGUGUUUGGUUCCAUACAAAAUUAUAGAAAACUAUUUUCGAAAGUAAAUUAUUUUAGAUGAAAAAAAUAUUUUAUGGUUCUCUAUGUUCGGUUUGUAUGAAACAGAAAACUUUUUUUUUUUUUUUUGAGAGAUAGGUAACACGCUACUCGCUUCGUUUAUUUCAUUUAGAAAUAAACUUAGCUAGAAAUGUGAAUCAACUAAGAUUCGAACUUGGGUCUCGGGUACCAACCACCAAGCUUUUUGCCACUUGCUCUAGGGACGGUCGGUAACAGAAAACAUUUUUGUAUCAUAAUUUGCAGUAGCCCUGCUCUCUCUCUAUAUAUAUAUAGUAUAAUGUAUAAUGUAUAAAAUUCUAUAAUUUAAAUUAAAUAAAUAAUAAUUAAAGAAGUAGUUGGCGGCCAAAAGUGAUGCAGUUCAUACAGUUUGCGUCAACUCGGGACCCUAUCACCUAGACAUUACUGGGCCUAGGUUUUCCCCCUCAACUUUUUAUUUCCCGCUCGCGGAAAAUAAAAAACAUUCUUUUUCUCAUUAUCUAUAAAAUUAGAUCACAUAAAAAAAAAAUCUAUUCAAUUAAGCAUUUUGAAAUUUUUACAUUAAUACCGACCGUCCCUAGAGCAAAUGGCAAAGGAUUUGGUGGUUGGUACCCGAGACCCAAGUUCGAAUCUUAGUUGAUUCACAUUUCUAGCUAAGUUUAUUUCUAAAUAAAAUAAAUGAAGUGGAUAGCGUGCUACCUAUUCCUCAAAAAAAAAAAAAAGAAGAAAUUUUUACAUUGAUUCAAACAGCUCCUAAUGCAAUCAAUGUUUACCCUAGGGUUCCCAAAGGGUCAGUCAGGGUUCAAAUCCUUUCUUAUACAAGAUUUCUUUCUAGUCUUCAAUUGAUGAGUUUAUUCAGUCUGUAUCAUUCAAUUGAUUGAAUAAAACCGCCUUAGGGCAUGGUUUCCCUCAAAAAAAGAAAAAAAAAAAAAAAACAAAGAACCUACCUUUGUGCCUAGGGAAUGUCAAUGGAUUUGGGUACCAACAUUGUAUUCAAAUUUGGAUCCAAUGGAGACAAUUUAGAAUGGGAAUAGUUUUAAUCACAGAGAUAAUUAGAUAAAUAUUCAAAACCCGACGGUUUUACUUUUGAUUUUUGUUUACAUCUGAUAUAAAAUCCAUUGUACUUUUAUUAAUCGAUAUAUUUUAGAUAUUGUAAUGAUAAAGCUUUCUAUAUUGCAAUUUUAUUAAAUUAUAAAAACUCAAUUUGAAUUUUGAGAUUUUAAGUUAAAUUUUAAUUUGGCGAGAUCCGGGCCAACCAAACGGUCAUGCCCUUAUUUGUUAUAGAUCCAACUGUAUUUAUUUUCAUUAUCACUUCUACGUAAGUUUUCAGUGGCCUUUAUUAUUUCUUUUUUCAGUUCUUAUUCUAAAUCGCGAUUACUCUAUAUAAAACACAUUUAGUAAUACUAAAUGUGUUGCAGAUUCAGAAGUUUCAAAUUUAAUUAAAAUUUGAUUCUUAUAGAGGUGCGAACUGUUGGAUUUGGAUCGUGACAGAUAUUUAAUCUAAUAGUUUAUAUAUAAUAAUAAUUUAAUUUAAUAUUUUAGGUUUAGGCUUUGGAUAUGGGGUUUAGGGGUUUUCAGUUUGUUUAGCGGGUUCAAUUUUGAUUUUGAAUUUUUAUAGUCCUUUCGAUAUAGGUACGAUUGCGAAUUUUGAUUUUUAGUUCGGGUCGGGUUUUGAAUUUGAUAAAAACCGACCCGAAAUAGAUCUAACUUGGCCCAAUUUCAAGCACCUCCAACCCAAUAACCCAAAUAUAAAGCAACACUACUUUUGCUCGAAUUUCCAUGGCAAAAUUAUUGGAUAUGUCCCCGUACUUUCCCAAUAUUGCAACUGCGCCCUAUAAUUUUAGCUACAUUAGCUCAAUUUCAGAACUUUCACAUAAAUUAUAUUUUUAUUGUAGAAUUUUUAAAAAUUUAGAUUUUAUUUUCUUUCUUGUGAUGUGAUGUAAUUGGGCCAACUUUUCUUUUGUGGGACUCGGAUUUUUUGUUCUAUGAUAUCCUGAUAAGAAUAAGACUCUGAGCCUAAUAAAUGGGAUCUCCUGUAAAAAAUUUUAGUUUAUUGAAAACAAAGUGUGAACAAAAGUUUUAUUUUGAUCCCUAUCUCUUAUUUUCCUCCCCUCUUAUAUCUCUUCUUUUUCUCCCCUCUUCUGAUUUUCAAUCCGAGAAUGUAUACUAAGGAGAUUAUCACGGAUUAUUUGCACAAAUUGCUCUAGUUCAGUUAUAACAUAAUUUGGACCCAGUAAACUAAAAUAUAUUAUUUUGUAUAUUUUUAUCUUAAUAGUUUAUAUAGUAUUAGAUAGUCCUCAAUGCCAAAUAGACCUCUGAGCCUUGGUCCAAUCGCAUGCCCUGCAGUAGGAAAAAUUCUAGAAUGCAACGGGUAUAUUGAUAACGUGGCGUAACAGAUUAAUCAAAAAUUUUCUUUUAAAGAUAUAUGCCCAUCAUGAUUAUAAAAAAGUAUUUUUAUUGUACUUUUGUUUGAAAAGAAAGAAGAUGAUUGGCUUAUUAUUAAUGACGUAAUGCAAAUGUGAUAGUGUAGGAUUCCUCCCACUGUAGCCAAGUUUUGGAGGUUAGAACCAAAUUCAAUGAUGAUUGGUAUUAAUUGCGUUGAAGCUUCCAUUGCUGAUAAGAUGUUGCCAUCUGGAAAACAAUUGUUACUUCCAAAAGAUUCAAUUAUUAAAAAACAAAACUUUGAAAGAAGACUGAUUGAAUUUGAACAACCUAAAGCACAAAUCUGAAUUGAAAAAAAAGACUAAAUUAUAGAAAAUUUUCACGUCAAAAUUUGAUUUUUACUUUUCUCACUUGUUGUUCAAAAUCCUACACUUUGCUCCUUUAAAAGUAAAAAAAUAUUUACAGAAAAGUACAAUAUUAACUCUAAUGACAAAAUAAUUAAAUUGCCUUUCAUCCUCUUCGUCUUCUCUCCAAUACUGCUUAUCCGCAGCAUCUCCUCCCUCGUUCUUCACACUUCUUUCGACCCCAGCUCCGACUCUAUUUUCUUACCUGUUGCUUCACUCCUCCGACACCCUCGCCGCCCCUCCAAUAGAGCAACUGUAGGGAGGAGAUCAUGGUGAGCAUGGACGGAAAGGUGGGCGAGGGCGAGAGUCAGGCGGCGGAGGAGGGCGAGGGCGUAUGUGUGGGUACGGAGAUAGCGGUGGGCGAGAACGAGACGGCGUAGCCGAGGAUGUUGACAAGGAAGGCAGAGACGCAUAUAAGAGGAGAGUUUAAAGGACAUUUUGAAUAUAAAAAAAAAUAUAAUAAUAAAAUAUAAACAGAAUUCUAACAGGACACUAAUGACAGGACCGAAGUAUACAUUCCUCAAUUUUUAAGGGGCCAAAAUAUAGGUUUUCAAAAGAUGGUGGGAAAAAAAAAAAAAAAAGGUAUUGACCGGAGAAUUUUUUAUAACUUAACAUUAAAAAAAUAAAAUUUGAAGUUAGAAUCUUUUAUUUUGAUAUCUGUGCAUCAACUAUUUUCUCUAGAAGCUCACUAUACUAAGGAACAAUGUCUUAGUAUCUUAGAAAUAAAAUGCAAUAUUGGAACCACCCAAACUACAGCUAUUUAGAGACUGCUAUUUAAGCUGUAAGAUUUUGAUAUUUGACACCUAAACUUUAAAAUUUUAAACUUUAAUUAAGGGCCUAAAUCUGCAUUAGUUCCAUUUAUUAACUUAGGGUGGUGAAUAUUAGUCGAAUGAUCAGGGAAAAAAUGAACAAUGACUAUUAAGGUGGAUCGACCAUUUUGGUAGCCAAAUCCAGUUUUGUAGCAAAAAUAUUAAUAAUAAUUUUCAGAAUUUAAUUGUUAAAAUCAAAUUAAACAAUUAGCAUCAAUUAUACAACCAUGGGGCUGUUUGGUUGGUUGUAAUUGUAAAUAUUACAAUAUAGUUAAAAAUAUAGUAGUUAUAACUGCACACAAUUUGGUUGGUUUUAUAAAGAUGCAAUUGCUGUAGUUGCAUUUUCUCAAUUUGGUAAUAUGAAACUAAUAAUUGUAUUUGUAAAUUUUGUCACUUUUUCGGAUAGAAUGAUGAGAAUAUCUUCACUAUAUAUAAUAUAAUUAUAUAAUUUUAUUAAUCAUUUAAAAUUGUUAUCUAUAAGUAAAUAGUGAUAUAUAAUAUUUUUAUACAUCUUUAAUAAUUUUUCAACUUAUCUAUCAAUUGACACAACUUAAAUUUUUCAAUCAAUUUAAUUUGGGAAAACUUCAAAAAAAUCUCCAGUGGUUUCGCACUUUUUUAUUUUAAUACCAUGUGGUUUAAAGUGUAUCAAGUUAGUACCUAUGGUUUCGCACUUUCUCACUUUAAUACCCUGUGGUUUAAAGUGUAUCAAGUUAGUACUAUAUGGUUUUAUUUUUGUAUCAAGUUAGUACCCUAUGGUUUUUAAACCACAGGGUACUAAAGUGAGAAAGUGCGAAACCACAGGGUACUAAUUUGAUACACUUUAAACCACAGGGUACUAAAGUGAAAAAGUGCAAAACCACAGGGUACUAACUUGAUACACUUUAAACCACAUGAUACUAAAGUGAGAAAAAGUGAAACAACAAGGGAGGUAUUUAAAGUUUUCCCAUUUAAUUUUAAGAGAUCCACCAAACUUACAAAAUUAUGAUUCUCUCUAUUAUUUUAUCAAAUUGAAUAGUUGUAAUUACUAAAAUUUGUUAAGUUAACACUCAUAAUCAAAUUCUAUGAAAAUUUACGAAAAAAAUUACUUUUAUAUUGUCAAAUGAACCAUUUUUUUUUAAAAAAAAUUACACAAUGAUUGCGUUGCAUGCAAAUUAACUUUUAUUGUCCAAGUAUUUAUUAACAAGUAUUUUUGUUUAUAUAUGUACAAGUAUUUAUUUAUUUAUUUAUUUGUUAUUGUUAAUUAGUGGGUGAGAUCUUAUCCCUCAUCAGCAACUGAAACUACAGCCAAUUUGAAUGUAGUUUUCACUACAAUAUUUGAUUCUUCUUAUGUAGUUGCAACUGCAAGCCAAACACAAAAAUUAAGUAUGUAUGUAUUUGCAACUGCAGUACAGUUAUAACUAUAUAUAGUCAAACAAUCCCUCUUCUAAAGCUAAAUUUUGGCAUAAAAAAGAUCUAUCUAUGGUGGCGGUGCCCUUCACCGUCGGUGGUGUGUGUGCUCUCCACUAAAAUUCUUGAUCAUUUGGCUGCGCUAAAGCCACAAACAAGCAAAAGUUCAGGUGAUUCAUAAACAUUUAACACCAUAUUUUAUUUUCAAAAAUUAUAUACCUGAGACUGAUUCCAAUUAAUCAAAAAGAUUACUAACUUUUUGAUUUUGCGAUAGCACUAUGUCCAUGUUAUAGCCUUUUAGUGUUCCAAAAUGCUGUUGGCUUAAAUAAGCUUUCUAUCUUGUGGCAGAAGAUCAAGUGGGUCGAGUCACAUUCGAAAUGGCGUAAGGCCGGGAUAGGCCAGGUCAUGUUUGAAGUAACAUUAAGGCUGGGAGGAUCAAGUCACAAUCGAGACCUAUGAACGCUAUAUGAUAUAUCUGUACGCUUUAAGUGAAUUGGUUGUAUAUUUCUAACGGCUCGAGCUUUUGAGAUUAAUACUUAGUGCCAACGACGUACAACAUUUAAUUUUAAUAUUCUCACUUUUCAUGUAAAAAGGAUGUUCAAUCUUAAUAGACUCGCGUUUUGGCAAGCUCCUAAUUAAGGUCAACAAAAUCCUAAGUAUAAUGGGCGUGGCAAAUUGUUUGCAAUGCAAAGGACAAAUUGAAAAGGGUACCGUUAUUUAGUUAUGUAACGAAGUGGCAUCUAAACGACAAGCACUCCGUAAAGUUUAAAGCUCUGAUAAAUAUAGGAUUUUAGAACCGUCAAUUUCGCUAACUAGGCCUCUAAACUUUAUCAGAAAGUUUAAUAGAUCUUGGAUGUCGACCACGUGAUUUAUUCAAGAUAAUUUAUAAAGAUAUAAUCGAUCCAACGGUUAAAAUUUAUUUGGGCACGUCCUUAAUAAACGGACAUGAUUAAAUAUCCUUACAUUAUAUAUAUAUAUAUAUAUAUAUAUAUNAAUAGCUCAUCAUGUCAGAAGCCUGAUUCUAUGCCAGCGUUGCCAAAAGGAGCAAGCAAAAGACGCAACUUACAAUGGCAAGGAUGCAGAUGAGGCAGAGGACGUGAGAGCAAGAACUCCAAAACACACAAUUGCUAUGCUCCGAGCUGCUUUUUUUCGCCUUUCUUUCUCAUUCAUGUCAUCUGCAACAUUUAUAUACUACAAGAUUUGAAUUCCAAAUAGAGGCCUGAUAUGUCAGUAACCUUAGGAAUAACUUUAAAUGGCAAUUAAAUCUAAUUGAAAGAGAAUAUUUGACUGCAAAAAUGAUAAGUAAGAUACUUGUUGACUGUCUAAAAAUUUGGAAAAAUAUGUGAAGGUGUAGGUCCAAGUUCUGAGUGGUUCCAUUAUCAAGGUGCUUUAUGUGCUGAAACAUGCAUCAGUAAGUCAAAAAGAAAAACAGGCGAAACUUGUAGGGUGGUACGGUUUGUGGUAAGAAUGGAUUUCACUCCGCUUUCGAAAUGCUUGCUUUUCUAAUUUCUUAGUGUGCUUUUCAUGGAAAAAGGAAUGAAAUAGAUGUUGAUUACUACUGAUCUUAUUCCAGGGCACAUCAUGACAUCCAUUAUCCAUAUCAUGCAACGACCCGACCCGCUAGCAAUAAUAACUCGUUGGGCCCAAACCAUCGGCCCAAAAUACUUAAGCCGGGUUAUUAUUACUAGUGUCUAAGUCUCUUAUAAACCCAAUGACAACUCCAUUCCCAUCCGAUGUGGGAUUAUUGGGGUGUCACAGACUCCUCCCAUUAAGACCCUGACGUCCUCGUCAGUCACACAUACAGCCCAAGAUCACCAGGCAAUGUGAGACUUAUCUCACUAGCCCGUCAUCUAGACCCUGGCUCAGUCGAGACUCGCCACACAUGUCCAGCUGGUGAGCCGGCUCUGAUACCAAAUGUAACGACCCAUCCCACUAGCAAUAAUAACUCGUUGGGGCCAACCACAGCCCAAAAUGCUUAAGCUCAGUUAUUAUUACUAGCGUGUAGGCCUCAUAUAAACUGAUUGAAAUCAGUAUCCCAUCCGAUGUGGGACUAUUGGGGGCGUUACAAACUCCCCCUGUUUAGACCCUAACGUCGUCGUCGGGUCCAAACCAGAUCAUAGACAGACAGACCGGGACCAUUACCAGAUGAUGUGAGAUUCUAGAGGAGGCUCCUACGGGUUCAAGAGGUGGAUCCCACCAAACCCGUUGGUGUAGCACUUUGUCCCGCAUAGCACUUAGUUCUCACACCUUCGGCUGGUAUUCAGCUCUGAUACCAUAUGCAACGACUCGACCCGCUAGCAACAAUAACCCGUUGGGCCCAACCACCGGCCCAAAAUGCUUAAGCCCAGUUAUUAUUACUAGCAUGUAGUUCUCAUAUAAACUGAUCGGAAUCAGUAUCCCAUCCGAUGUGGGACUAUUGGGGACGUUACAAAUUCCCCCUGUUUUAGACCCUCGUCGGGUCAAAAUCAGAUCAUAGACAGACAGACCAGGACCAUUACCAGGCGAUGUGAGAUUCUAGAGGUGGCUCCUACGGGUUCAAGAGGUAGCUCCCACCAAACCUGUUGGUGUAGCACUUUGUCCCGCAUAGCACUUAGUUCUCACACUUUCGGCCGGUAUUCGUCUCUGCCCUGAAGCAUGAAUGUCCCGAAUCUGACUUUCUUUUCAUCGGUGCACUGCAUAGCCGUAAAUGCUUUUUCCAUCUCCUUGAUCCAAUUUUCCGCUUCAUCCGGAUUUGUAGCGCCUGAAAUAGGUGGAGGAGCAGACUUCUUAAAUUCAUUAAUGCUCCUCUCUCGAACUCUGGAACUUGACUCCGCGGCACUAGGAGCUGGACUUUGUUGUAAAUUUUGUUGUUGAGUCUGAACUAGCCCGACCACAGCUUGUUUCAGGGUGGCGACUAGGGGAUCCAUUGUGGUGCUCUGCAGUAAAGUGGCGGAGUGGGUGGGAAUAGUAGGUUGUGGCGGCGGAGGAACAAAACCAGAAGGUACAGUCAACGGCGGAAACGAAAAGGUAGUGGGAGCGGCCGUCGAAGGCAUCCCAGUACUAAAAGUCUGCUGUAGAGGUGGAGCAAACGUUGAAGGGUUCGUUGGAGGUGCUAUGGUUGACUGUAGCGAAUUCUGAAUAGUAGGCGGAACAAUAGUAUGAGGUGGAACAGCUGCCGAGGAUGUGGUAUUCAAAAGUGAAGCUAGGGUGGUGUUCAGAUAUGCAUCUCCGGAUCCGACUGGAGGUGGGUUCCUCGGUUGCUUGUUGUUGGUGUUGCCAUGGCGGGACGGACGCACCACCAUCUUAACAAGAGAGGGGAUCACAAACAUGUAAAGCAAGAUGUUAACGAAAACUGUAAACAAUAAUCAAAUAGGAUCAAACACGCGCCUACUUUUACCCAUCCUCACACGUCCUAAUAAACUCUCACAGUCCUAUACCUUAAAAGUUACAGUAGAUCUUAAACCUUGUAUUCUCUGAUACUAAUUGCAACGACCCGACCCGCUAGCAACAAUAACUCGUUGGGCCCAACCACCGGCCCAAAAUGCUUAAACCCAGUUAUUAUUACUAGCAUGUAGGUCUCAUAUAAACUGAUCGGAAUCAGUAUCCCAUUCGAUGUGGGACUAUUGGGGACGUUACAUAUAUAUAUAUAUAUAGAGUCCAGCUAUGGUGCUUGUAAAAGCACCAAGCACUUGGUGCUUGUAAGUUUUUUACCGUUAGAUCUACUUCUCGGAUCAUUUUCAACCAUUAGAUUAUACUAUUCAACCAACCACUCACUCAACCCUAGGGGGCCCACAUCAUCCUAACCGCAUAUCUCUUAAUCCAAUGGCUAAAAACCUAUAAGCACCAAUAACUUGGUACUUUUAAAAGUAUAUGAGCUCAAUUCUAUAUAUAUAGAGAGAGUUUGACUACUAUACUAUUUAUAGUACUAAGUCCUUGGUACAAUUGAGUUUUCUACCGUUAGAUCUACCCUUUGAUCAUUUCCACCCGUUAGAUUAUACUAUUAAACCAAUCACUCACUCAACCCUAGAGGACCACUAUCAUCCUAACCGCACAUCUUUUCAUCCAACGGUCGAAAACUCAAUAGCACGUACUAAGAGGUUGGUACUAUUGAUAGUAUAGUAGCAUAAUUCUAUAUAUAUAUAUAUAUAUAUAUAUAAUAAGAGUUCCGAUCUAACUUUAAUUCUAAUUUUUCGUGACGGUUCUAUCUCCGGAAAUAUGAAAAUAGACUCAAAAUUUGUUGCUCUUUUACAGAUCAUAAAUGAGAAUGAACCAUAAGGAAAAAUCAUUGUCUACAAUUCGUAUUUAGAAAUCGAAAUCAUACCAGAAGUACGGAUUUAAUUUUCAUAUGGUUUAACACAUUCUUCUUAAGAAAAAAUGUAUAAAAGCUAUCUAAAUUAUGAGCUAUUUUAAUUUUAUUAUUCAAUUUUUUAAUUUAUUUGAUUUGAAUCAGUCAGUGGCACUAUGACUUCAAAAUUUGAAUGUAUAAUCUAUUUUUACAAAUUUGUUAGUAUAAUUAUGUAAUUCUCGCAACUAUAAAUUUAUUAAAGUAGGUAAUUAACUUAACAUUUAAAAUUAAAGUACCAUUGACUGACCAAAUCAAACAAAUUGAAAAGUUUUAAUAGUAAAAUUAAAAUUUUGAAGAACUACGUAGCCAACUCAAAAUGGUCCAUAAUUUAGAUAAAUUUUAUAAAUUUUUACCUUCUUCUUGAGAAAAGUUACUUGUUUAAUAUCCGUUCUAGAGAAAUAUCUUUACAUGCAAUCUAAUGAACCUUCAAAGCAAAUUAAAAUUUAUCUAUUCUAUGCUAAUCUUGAAAUAUAUAUAGAGUGAGGCUACUAUGCUAUCGGAAGCACGGAGCCUUCCGNAUAUAUAUAUAUAUAUAUAUAUUAAAAUCAAGGCGAAAAGGAAUUUAGCUUAUUCUUCAUUUUUUAUUGUUGGAAGCGUGAUUUGCUCUGAUACCAAUUGUCGAAACCGGUAUUUGUGCUGAUACCGAUUAUAACCCAGGAUCUAAAGUCGAACAAAAUAAUAUGGAGAAAAGAUAUUGGAGGAGAAAGAAGAUAACUAAACAAAUAUUUUAGUAAUAAAGAAUAAUUAAUUAUAUCCUGGGCAACACCCAUGCAGUCAUGUCUACUGUAGCUUUUUCAUCUUACUAAUCUAUGCCUAACUAUAUAUAUAGCUAUUAAGUCAUAACAGAUGAUAAAUCCAACUUUUACUUUGGAUAAUUAUAAAUUCUAAUCAUAAUCAAUAUAGAAUUUGGAUAAACUCUAUCUCUAACUAUUUUUUUAAUUAAGUUUGGAUUAUUAUUUCCAACAUCCAGUCUUAAUCCAAACUUUAUUUUCAAGCCGCGAACUCUGUGAAACGUGCAUUUGAUUUUGCAAUCUCUAUCUCUUUGUCGCUAUCAUCAUGUUCGAGUUGUGCAUCAUAACGCAUGUCCAAUGAUAUUGUCAUGAGCAGAAUCUUUACCAUUUGUAGACGUGAUUAUCCAUAUCAUUCUUAAAGAUUUGUGAAUUCUUGCAAAUAUUUUGAAAAACAUGUAAUUUUAGAAAGAUUGGAUCAAUUUAAAUGUUGUUAUUUUGUCGUAAUCGAGGAAAGUCUAAUGGAUAUGGAUAUUUGUUCGGUGCAUUGAUUUCGAUUUGUGCAUUCUCGUGUGUUUUAUGCUUUCGUAAAUCUAAUUUGUCAUCUGCAUUUUUUAUCACAUUAAAAUAAUGGUAAACUUCCUCUCUACUUUGCACUUUGCUGUAUAAUUUCUUAAUCAAUUGAAAUUUUUUCAAUCAUAUAAUCAUUAAUUGUGAACUUUUUCGUUGGCCCGAAUCGCAUUGUUUUGAUCAUUAGCAUAUUCUUUACGAAUCUGAUCUUCUUUAUGAUUUUGAUCAGAAUUUUCUUUUUAUUUUUUUUUUUUUGCAAAUUGGGGCUUCUAUAUUUUCCCCAUUGGAUUGAAUUUUUUCUUCUUCUUCUUAAAUUUCAUUCUCGUAAUGCAAAUUUUCUCCUCUAAUUUUUAAUAGCAUUCUUCACACUUCUCAUGUUGUCUUUGCUAUUGAAAUUUUUUCAACUAAUGAUAGAUCCACUGUUUGAAAAAUAUAUGAUAGAGCUUCUCUAUCUCUUUUUUAAAAUUCUUUUUUACCAAAUUCUUUCUCAUAAUUAUUAUUCUCCACUGCAUCCCACAAAUCUUAAGAUUCUAAAAAAUAUUGAAUGAUGAUUUUUUAUCGUUUAACAUUCAUUCCAUCGAACUUUGGUAAGUAAGGUUGAAUAAACCAAUUAUCUAAAUCCAUAACAAAAACUUAAUAAUCCGAAAAAUAAAUUUCAGAUUUGUAUCUUUCUGUUUGGAUGACAUCCUUAAUUCAUCGAGAUCUCGCCGAAUUUUCUGUAUUUCUACUUGCUUGCCUAGCCCUAAUGGCUAUCUGGUCAAGUCUCCUCGUAUCUCUUCACGGGCUCUCCUCGCUCUGUUUUCGUCAAGUGUCACAACCACCUGCUGUCACGUGUUGUGCGGAGGCCAACUUUUUCAAAACGAUUCCUUCGCUUUGGUUUCACCUGAACAUCACCUUCAUCGAUCUGCUAUAAGUCGCUUGACUUUGACAUAGCUAUCCGGUACAUUAGUUCUAUAUUUUUUUCGAAUAUGCUGCCAUCUGUUAAGAAGUCGCAUGAUACUUUGCAACUCUGAUACCACUUAUUGGAAGCGUGACUUACUCUGAUACCAAUUAUCGAAAUCGGUAUUUAUACUGCUACUGAUUAUAUAAUGCAAGAUCUAAAAUCGAACAAAAUAAUAUGAAGAAAAAAUAUUGGAGGAGAAAGAAGUUAACUAAACAAAUAUUUUAUUAAUAAAAAAUAAUUAAUUACAUCCUAAGCAACAUCUAUGCAGUCAAUUUUACUGUGCCUUCUUCGUCUUAUUCAUCAAUGCCUAACUAUAUAUAUAGCUAUCAAAUCAUAAUAGAUGAUAAGUCUAAUUUUUAUUUUGAAUAAUUACAAAUCCUAAUCAUAAAUCAAUGUAGAAUUUGGAUAAACUAUAUUUCUAACUAAUUUUUAAAUUAAGUUUGAAUUAUUAUUUCCAACACUUACACUACGUAGGUGUUUUGUUCGGUGCGCAUUUUGGAGCUUCAUAAGUUCAUCAAUAAAAUAUGCCACUAAUAAGGCUACUUAAUUAGUAACUUCGCUUGCGAAGAAAGGUUAAUAAAACUAUUUGAUAAAUUUUCGGUGGUUAUGCAACUCUAGACUUUACGAAAGAAAGGUCUAAACUUUUUAUAUAUAGUAUGUGUUUAUCCCUUAAUCCCAAUAUUAUAUGUUUCUAUAAGUGACAAGGUACUAUGACUAGACCUUCACAAGACACUCUUUCCAUAAGAGCAUGCAUUUAUACAAAAAUUAGACAAAAGAGGCAAAGAAAGGCCUUUAAUGCAAAUCAUACAAGUAUAAAUUGCUAUUUGCUUCUCUGGCCAUUAUUAUUGUCUACCAUGCAUGAAGCUUAAAAAGAAGAAAAUGGCUUGUGAUUGGUUGCAUGUUUCCACUAUUCAUAUAAUUGGUCAUUGCUUACAAGAACAUCACUAGCUACAUUUUCAGCAAAAGGGUUGUUCAAAAAAGGGGGGGAAAAAAAAAAGAGAACAUGAGGAAUUAAACAAUUUAUAAUUCGGUUUCUUGCAUAGAUAAUAGAGGCCUACUUUUUAAGAAAUAAAUUUGGUUUCUUGUGUUGUCGAUCUCUUGAUCAUAACUUGUAUUAGUGGAUAUACUUUUCUCCAUCCAUGAAAAAUUUUAUCCAGUCAAAAAAAAUGGCCGCGCUUUCCGACAUCGCAGGUGCCUAAUCACCCAAAAAGUUUAGAUUUAGUAUAUAUAACGCAUUAUUUUGCAGUUAAAUUCUUGUUAGAUUAGAAUGAUGGAUUAAAUUCAUAAUAGUAAAUCCAGUAGAAUUGCAUGUGCCUGGUUUGCUUGUACCUGGUGCAUAGAUGCAUGGAAGAAAAUUGCUAAUGUCACACCCUGGGCCUACAGCGGAAAUCUUCCGGGGACGUGCACAAACUCGACGAAGAUAGAGUUUUCUAUACCCACGAAGCGUCCAACAAAAUCACUACAACAGAAUUAGAUUAUAGGGACACAUGUUUGGGACACUUUUGAGUAAGUGUCUCAUUUAUACUAAAAUUUAAAAAAAUAUCUACUAAUGCCUAAAUAUAAAGCUCAAUCCAAUAAAAAAUAAAAGAUUACUCUACUCAACCCACCACACUCAGUCUAUUUGGCCCGAUUACAAACUGAAAAAAAAAAAAAAGAAAAAUCAAUUACCAUCUAUAACCACGAAGCGUCCAACAAAAUCAACAUUAACAACUCCAGAGUCCACAACUAAACACAAAGUUAACAGGUUAUUUGGUUUGUGGAAAAAAAAAAAUUUCCAGUGUACAAUUCCAGUGUACUACAGCUAAGGGGCUAUAUAUUUGGUUUCACGUUUGAAACUGUGGAAAAAAGUUUUCAACAAAAGAGUUUUCAGCAAAAAAAAAAAUUUUAUACUCUUUAUGUUUGGUUUGUGAAAAAAAAAAAAUAUUUUCCAACCACAUUUGUUUGGUUUAAAGAAAACGAUCAAUAAAAACUAAUUUUAUAUAUAUUUUUCCUAUUAUAUUUCUUUUAUGCUUUUUUUUUGAAAAAUAUAUUACAUGUUAUUACAUAUUAUAAUUGCCCUACUACAUAUAUUAUUAUUAUUAUUUUUGUAAAUUAAACGCAUUCUAAAUAAUAUUACGUAAUAUAUAUNUAUAUAUAUAUAUAUAUAUAUAUAUAUAUAUAUAUAUUGUAAAUAAUAUUAUACAAUAUUUUGUAUAAAAAAUUAUAUAUACAUACAUUUUAUAUAAAAUAUUGUAUAAAAAUAGUACAAUACUAUAAUAUAUAUCAUAUAUGUAUAGAGUUCACGUAGUAUAUUAUUGAUGGUAUAUGAAUAGUGUUUACUAUCUAUUUUCUAAUCAUUCUUUGAAUUAUUACUGUUUCACCAACCCCCACUUAGGGGUGUCCAUGGAUUGGAUUCGGGGCGGAUUUUUAAAAACCCGAACUUGAACUAGACUCGAAACCCGAAACCCGAACCUAAACCCAACGGAUUUUAAAAAUCCAUACCCGAACCUAAAUCUGACCAAAAAUCUAAAACCCGAACCCAAACCCGAAAAUCCGAACCCAAAAUAAUUAUUUCUCUUUUCAAUAUUUCAAAAUAUUAUUACAUUAAAUCUAAAUUUUUAAAAUACAAAUUCAAAUAUAACACAAAAUUUUUAUAUACAUAUUAUAUAUAAUGUAAAAUAAAUUCGGGUUUGGUUCGAGCUCGGAUCUGGUAUAGUCAAAAUCCAUAUAUGAAUUCAUAUCUAUUGGGUUUUUGUUUUUAAUAUUCAUAUUUGAAACCAUAUCCGUUUAGCAUCGAAUAAAUCCGCUACGUUCGGAUUCGGGUUCGGAUAAAAUUUUGAAUAUAGUACCAUUGACAUCCCUACUGUGUGUGUACGUAGAGCUACUACGCUAUCGAAAGUAUAGAGAAUUUGAUGCUUUCGAUUUUUUGACUCUUGGACCAAGAAUUAUCAGUUCGGAUGACUACGAUCCCCUCUAGGUUGAAUAGUAUCCUUAGGAUUUAGUGGUCCCCACGGGGUAAUACUAUUAAUCCAAAGAUUAGAAAUAAUUAAAGGGGCUGAUCUAAGGGCCAAAAAGUCAGAAGCACCAGAUCUUCUAUACUUUUGAUAGCAUAUAUAGUAGCUCUAAUCUACACUCGGUGCUUCUAAAAGUAUUCUAGCUCAAUUUAUAUAUAUAUAUAUAUAUAUAUAUUAUAUAUAUAUAUAUAUAUAUAUAGUAGGUCUGUGGUCUAUUAGGAGCAGGAGGCCUUCGUGUUCCUAAGCCGUUUCAGACUAUGGUGGAGCUUGCGAUCGACGAUCGACUCCGUUAGACUUGAUCCUAGCGUAUUUGAAAUACUAAAAAAUAAAUUUAUAAUUUUCGAUAUCAUUUACUUAGCGAUCAAAAGGCUCAAAAUGUUGUAACUCGUAACUGCCCACAUCCCAUCUUCCCAUGUGUAACUAAUUCCACCCUACCUUUCCUUCUCUCUUACCCAAUUCUUUCUUUCACCUUGCUCUUCCAAAAUUUUUUUUUAUUCAAUUUCAAUUUUAAAUUUAAUUUUUUAAUUAAUUUUAUAAUAGAAAAUUAUUUUUUUAUGUGAGUCAUUUUUUCCUAAGUCGUAAUUUUUCAAUAAAGGAAAAAAAAUUUAUGUCAGACAUUUUUAUAAGUAAUUUUCUCUAUAAAUUUAUUUCUCAAAUUAUAAUAAUAUAUAUAAAUAAUAUAUAUAUAAUAUAUAUUAAUAUAUAUAAUAUAUAUUAUGGGAAUAAGGCUGGAAUACUAUCAAUAGCACCAAGCUAUUGGUACUAUUAGUUUUUUAGCCUUUGGAUUGAGAAAUGUGUGGUUAGGAUGAUGUGUGCCCCCUAGCGUUGAGUGGGUGGUUGGUUGAAUAGUAUAAUCUAACGGAUAAAAAUAAUAAAAGGGUUAAAUCUAACGGUAGAAAACUCGAUAGCACCAAACCUUUAGUGCUAUCGAUAGUAUUCCAACCGGACUCUAUAUAUAUAUAUAUAUGAGUAAUGUUUCUAUACUUGUUAUUUUUCGAUACCGUUCAUUCAUUUUUAUUCAACAGCUCAGAUUUAAUUUUUUAAAAAUUGUGACCCGCAAUAGUAGGUCAUUUUGAGAAAGGUACCGAUUACCAGGUACCCCAAAAAAAAAAUAUUUUGAUCUUUUAAUACAUGAAUAAUUUAGUAAUUAAUUUUACCUUCAUUAUAAAAUAUAACAUGAAACAUUUAUAUAUAUUAUAUAUAACGUAAAAUAAAUUCAGGUCCCAGUCGUUUCAGGUUCGGAUCAAAUACAAUCAAUAUUCAUACCCGAAUUUAAAUCCAUCGGAUUUUUAUUUUUGAUAUCCAUAUUCAAAACUAUAUCCAUGUAGCAUAGGUAAAUCCAUUGCAUUUGCUUUCAAGUUUGGAUUUGGAUUCAAAUAAAAUUAUAGGUAUCUGUAUCCAUUGACAUUCGCAAUCCACAGAUAAUUUGUUAUUUCAUAUCCGUAAUUCACAGAUAUUUCAUUAAAACAUAUUACAACAUAUUAAAAUACAUUGAAUUUAAAUUUCUUUUACCUACAUUCAAAAUUUUUUAAAGUUUGUGAUAAAAAAUUAAUAUCUAAACUAGAGGAAUUUAAAAGUUUCUUAAAUAAAUUAAAUAUGUUUUGUUUCAUUUUAAUUAUACUUUGACAUACUGCAACAUUAUCUUUCUUAUGAUCAGUAAUCUGAUACUAAUUAAUCAUUUUUUAAUCCAAUAUUUAUCAUCUGUUUUGAUUCAUUUGUAUAGAGUUGUUUAAAAUUUUCCUUUGUUUUCUCUAAAUUUUUAUGCGUUUGCUAAAGGUGCACAACGCGGGCACAUUUGCUACUCUACCAAUAAAUGCGUGCUUUUUUUUAGUGAAGAUAAGAAAUGCAGGAAACCAGAUAUUUAUGCAUCCAACACUACAACAUAAUUAAGUUAUAAGGAUAUAUAUUUGGGACAUUUUUGUGUGUCCUAUUUAUGUCAAAACUUUUUAAAAAAAUCUAUUAAGGCCUAAAUAUAAACCUCAAUCAAACCAAAAGUAAGAGGUUACUCUACUCAACCCACCCUACCCAGCCCAUUUAGCCCAAUUGCAAACAGAAAAGAAAAAAAAAAAAUCGAUCACCAUCUCCCCCUUCUCCUCUUACUCAAUUCACUGAAACCUUAGACGAAGAGCUCUUCGCUUUCCUUCUCUUUCGCCAUCGCAGCCAACGAGUUAGAGUUCCGACGGCUGCUAAAUGCUUAAAUAAGUGUUGGUAAAUUAACAACAUUCUUUUUAGAUUAUACCGACACUCUUAAACUGUCACUAUAUACCUAGCGACCCCACAUAUAACAACACUUUUUAAAAGUAUCAGUAAUUUAGCCAGCAGUACUUUUUUGACCUGUACCGAUAUUUAAAAGUGUCGCUAUAUAUCGUUUUUGUUGUAGUGCAAAGAAGAUCUUAAGUCCGUGACAGAACAGGGGGAUCGUCAACCUAGCUCAAGAUGGAAUGGCAACAUAAAUAGUACUCGUAGCUCGCAAUUGCUUGUACAAAUUAAUGUAUACAUGCACGUGAUCUCUAUAGCUAAUGACCCUUUUUAGGCUAAUAUUGUAUCUAAAUCUUUGCUUAACUGGAUUUCAACUGUAUGAAAAAAAAAAAAAACAAACAAAAUGGCAACAAGUUAAUUAUAAUUGCAUCCUUAGGCUUGGUUGUUCAUUGACAAAAUAUAAUUAAGAACCAAAUUAGCCUAGAAGAGCUAGCUAGAGAAGUAAACAAGUGAAGAGCAUGCACUAUGGAUAAUGAUGGAAUAAUAGCUUGACGUGCACUUUGCUUAAUAUGGCGCCGCAGUGAGACAUGGCAUGCAGGAAAAGGAAAUGAAGAUUAAGGGAUACAUUAGUGGCCACUAGGAUGGAGAUUCUUUGGAGCAAUUAUUGAUCCAUUGCACUUAGGCAUGUUUGGUUCGUCCAUUUUUCAUGCUUGAAAUCGGAAUCGGAAUAGACGAAUCCGUUUGUCCGUAUUUGGUAUGCAAGAUUUCAUUCCGAUUUCGAUUUCCGGGUGAUCCGGGUGAAUGAGAAUCUCCUAAUUACCCUUUUUUUCAAUCCAGCUUAGAAGAUCAUAUUGAAAAUUGAAUUCGAGCGGAAUGAUUUGUUCGAAUUAAAUUUAACUUUUUUAAGCUUAUUUUUUAAACAUAAGUUUAAGUUUAUAAAUUAUAUUUAUAAAUUUUAGUUUUAAUUUGAAUUUAAAUUAAAAAUUAAAAUUCAAUCAAAUAUUUCGAACCUAAUUCAUAAAUUUAAAUUUAAUUUAAAAUCUAAAGUUUUAAUUAAAUUUUAUUUAAAAUUUAAAUUUAAAAAAAUUAUGGAUUCAAAUUGAAUUUUAAAUUAUAAUUUUAAGUUUGGAUUUGAAUAAAUCGAAAUUUACUUUUAUAUUUUGAAUUAUCCUUUCAAUUGCAAAUUUUAAUUUUUUUUAGAAAAUAUAUUUAAAAUUUUGACAUCAUCUUAAAAUUUUAACGUAAAUUUUUAAUAUUUAAUUUUCAGUUUGAAUUUAAACUAAUAUAUUAUAAGGAUAAAAUUGACAUAUUAAUUUGAUUACGUUUCUGAUAUCUAUCUGAACCAAACACCGACAAUGAAAAGAUUCAUUUCGAUUCCAAUUCAGGUGGUGAACCAAACAGAAUGAGGUAAUAAAUUAUUCCGAUUCUAAUUUCAGUUUAUUCUUAUUUUGAUUUCGAUACCGAUUUCAAUUUCGAACCAAACACACUAAGUAAUCUUAUACAUCGCAGCUACAAAACCCUAUGAUAGAGUCCUCAAAAUAAGCAUUUAAUUUGUUGGUUCUAUUCUAUAAUAUUCAGAGGACCUGGAUAUCAAGUGUUAUAAAUUUGGAUACAUUUUUUUUUUUGCAAAUCAAAUAAUGUCACAGGAGUAGUUUGGAAUUAUAAUGUCUAAACAGAUAUAUUUUCAUGUUUUCAAUGGCCCCACAAAUUUGAAACAUAAAGAUUUUUUCUCCAAUACUAUAAAACGACGACAAUGAAAAUCAUGCCAUCAUUAUUUCCUAGCACUGGAGAGGAAAGCCCAAAAAAUGCUUUCAAUCUUCUUUUAGCUUUACAAACUAUGCAAAUUAGUGCUUUUGGUAAAAAAAAAAAAAAAAAAAAAAAAACAUUUUGUCAAUACAGUCACUCACGCGCAUUUUUGGUCAUCAAACUAUAAAGGCACAUGAUGCUAUAAUCCUCAAACUUUAAAGAGUUAUUUGAUUGCAUAUAGUUGCAGCUGUACUGUAGCUAUAACUGCAUAUAAGUACAAAUUCGGUAUUUAGUUUGAUAUAUUUAACUUCAACUAUUACAGUAAAAAUUACGCCCAAAUUGACUACAGUUCCAACUGUAACAGUUGAAGAAAGUAACUUUAAGCAAAAAGUAAGCUUUCCUUCUUAAAUAUUCUUUCAAUAAAAAAUAAAAAAAAUUCUACUUUGGAGGCAAUAUUACCACCAUAUAUAUAAAAUGAUAAAAUUUUAAAAUUCAUUUCUCAACUGCAUACAACCAAACAAAUUAUUUAUAGUUGCAGCGCUUUCUAUUACAUCAUAUCAAAUAUGAUACAUGUAGUUGCAACUGCUGCAGUACCAACUGCAUGCAUUUUCAAGUACACUGCAUUUGUAAUUACAUUUAAUCAAACUGUCCCUAAAUCAUUGUGAUUUUUAACUCAAACUAUGAAGCACGUAUUUUAGUCCUUAAACUUUAAUUAGUUGUAAUUUUUUAUUCAAAUUAUGAGUUACAUGAUUUUUUUAGUUCUCAAACUUUCUAAAUUGUGACAACAUCCUCCUUGAUGAUGUAAUAAUAAUUAAAAUACAAAUUUAUUUAGAUAUUAGUAAUUCGUUAAUAUUUAUUUUAAAAAAAUUGAAAAAUUCCAGAACUAAUAUGUCACAUAUUCUUUAGUUUGAGUAAAAAAUUGUAACUAAUUAAAGUUUAAUAAGAGCUACAGUGUCACACAGCUCAUAAUUCAAGUCAGAAAUUACAACGAAUUAAAGUUUGAAAACUAAAUUGUCAUACGUGGGAACACUGAGUGUAGCCCACUUAAAAGGCUAGGUCUCUAUAAAUACAGAUAGAAGUGUGAUACUCUCAAGUACACACAUAUUCACCUGCUCAAAUAGCACAGCAACUAUGGCGAUUCGCGUCGAAUUGCUGCUCAUUUUGACGAUCGUAACAUUCGAGCUCGUCGCGACGGAAGCCCGCGUAAGAGCCCGUGAAAUGGCGUCCUGCGAACAUUCGACCGACGGAGCGGGCGGCGGCGGCAGAGUCCAGGCACUGCAGGCCCGGCUACGGACGGAUGAACGGCGAGGGAGGAGGAAUCUGAUGAAUUAUGACAGUAAGAGGGAAGUCCCAGGUGGGCCUGACCCUGGACAUCAUCGUUAGUUCACAGCAUGUAUGUAAGAUUUAGAGGUUAAGGGGCUGUUUGGUCUCUCGAAAAAGUAUGAAAAAAAUUUAAAAAAAAAAUUAUGUUUCAUCUUAAAAAAAAAAAAAAAAAAGUUUUUGUCCUUUUGGUUUAGGAAAAACAACUUUUUUGAAAAUUUUCUUUUCAGAUUUUAUGAAAAACUAAUAUUUUUAUUUUUCUAAAAAAAAUGAAAAAUAUUAAUUUGCCGAGCAAUUUGGAAAACAAAUUUUCGAAAAAACUAAUUUUUUUGAAACCAAAAGGAUGGAAAAAUAAAAAAGAGAUUUUUCAUGGUAAUGCUUUUCUCGAAAAAAAAAAAUUCCAUACUUUUCCGACAAACCAGACACCCCCUUAAGUAUUGUGUGAUUUUGAUUAAUUAUAUGAGACUUACCUGCACUGCACUUUGUAUUAUUUGUACUUUUUAGAUAACUUCUGAAAUAUAGGUCUUUUUGAUUUAGAUAUCCAACCUUUCAAAUUUUAAUUUUAUUAUCUGACCUUUUAAUUUAUUUGAUUUGAGUAAAUCAAUGGCACUUUGAAUUCAAAUUUUGAAUGGGUUGAUUAUCCUCACAGGAUUAGUUAGUACACUCCAUGCGAUUCUCACAACUAUAAAUUCUGUAAAAUAAAUAAUGAACUUAAAUUUUGAAGUCAAAGAAUCGUUGUAAUAACUCAAAUCAAACAAAUUGAAAGAUUGGACAGCAAAACUAAAAUUUUAAAAGUUCGGAUAGCUGAUUCAAAAUUGUCUAUAAGUCAGAUAAGUUUUGUAAGUUCUUACUUUUUGAAAAAUUUUUUAAAAAAAAGAAAGCAACUAAAUUUUCUUUUGGUUACACGCCUUGCAUCUUUUGCCUUGGGUUUUAAAUGACAAAUUGAUGGUUUAUUAUGCAUGAGCAUUUACUAUGUACCCUGAAAAUCAGUACACCUUAGCUAGUUAACUGGGGCAUGAAUCUUUAUAACGAAACAGAAGUGGUGAUGAUGUUUGAGAUUAGCUUUAUAAAUUUCAGAUGACCUAUCUACAACAGGCAUAUAAGGUAGUCAGGGUCUUGUACAAUUAGUUCUCAUUUUUCUUCAAAAAGAUAGUUAUUUUUGUGAUUAAUUGGUCGUGCCUAUUAAAUAUAAAAAUAUUUAAACACCGUUCUCUAACAGCUUAAGCUUUUAGAGUACAAGAGUACAACGGUUGUUUCACAUGGUAUCAGAGCAGGAGGUCCUGAGUUCGAGUUACGCCAGACUCCUAACAUAUUAAUUUUCCUUCCAUUUAAUUCAAGCCCACGUCAUGGGCCGAUUAAAAAGUCUCGAAACACCGUUCUCUAACAGCUUAAGCUUUUAUAGUAGGUUGUUUCACAGUGCCACACCUAUGUUAUGAUCGUUAGACACAUCACUGCAGGAGCAUGUUAUUUAUUUAGGUUUAAAGCAGAAUAUAAGUUAAAAAAUUUGAGGUCAUGUGGUUUUCGAGUAGGAUUGUCAUUAAUCAGACUGAGAAGUGUAAAUGGGCUAAACCAUGUUGUUUACUUGAACUCAGUUGAAAAAAAAAGAAAAAAAGAAAAGAUAGAUAUUUCAUGACAGAUUUUGUCAGGCUUGGUCCGGCCCGGUCUAGUCUGGCCUGUAAAAAAACUGGGCCGAUCAAGCUGGCCAAUUUGGAUAAAUAGGAUAAAUUAUUGUCUACAUUCUAUGUAUGGAGUUGAGCUCAUGUAUUUUUAAAAUCACGGAACUAUUUAUGCUUGUGACUUUUUAGUUAUUGGAUCUUAACGGUGUGUCCCAUUAAAUUUUCUUUACUAAUGCAGUAUGAAUUUUAAAGCGAUUUGAUAGCUAAAAAAUUAUAGGUACGUUGAACUUCUAUGCUUUUAAUAGUGAAGGAGCUCAACUCCCUGGGCGUGUUUGGUUCGAAAUCCGAAUCGGAAUCAGAAUCAGAAUCGAAAUAAGCUGAAAUCGGAAUCGGAAUAACUCAUAAUCUAAUUCUAUUUGGUUCAUCACCUGAAUCGGAAUCGGAAUAAAUCAUUACUAUUAUUGGUGUUUGGUUCAAGUAGAUAUUAAAAAUAUAAUUAAAUUAAUAUACUAACUUUAUCUUUAUAAUAUAUUAAUUUAAAUUCAAAUUGAAAAUUAAAUAUUAAAAAUUUACAUCAAAAUUUUGAAAUAAUGUCAAAAUUUUAAAUUUAUUUUUUUUAAAAAAAUUAAACUUUGAAGUUGAGUGGAUAGUUCAAAAUAUAAAACUAAAUUUCGAUUUAUUCAAAUUUAAACUUAAAAUUAUAAUUUUAAUUUUAAUUUGAAUCCAUAAAUUUAAUUUAAGUUUUAAAUAAAAUUUGAAUAAAACUUUAUAUAAAUUAAAAUGUAAUUUAAAGUCAAAUUCAUAUGUUAGAUUCGAAAUACUUGAUUAAAUUUUAAUUUUUAAUUCAAGUUCAAAUUAAAAUUAAAAUUUAUAAAUUUAAUUUAUAAAUUUAAACUCAUGUUUUAAUUAAAAAAAGUUGAAAAAAUAAAUCUAAUCCGAAUAAAUAUCCAUUCCGUUCGGAUUCAACUUCCAAUCUGGUCUCCUUGGCCGGAUUGGAAAAAGAGGUGAUUGAGGGAUUCCCAUUCCACUCAGAAAUCGGAAUCGGAAUGGAACUCCCGCUUACCAAACACCCACAAACAGAUUCGCUCAUUCCGAUUCUGAUUCUAGGGUAAAACAGAAACGAACCAAACAUGCCCCAUAUGUAUGCAUUACAUACACUGCACCUCUAAAACCCUAUGAUGAGUAACUCUCAUUAUAUGUAUAUUUUAUAGCAUUUAGAAGACCUGGAUAUCAAAAAUAAUAAUUUAGGCAUCGAUUUUAUAUUGAUAUGUUGAUUAUUGGGAGUACUUUACAGGAAUUUUUUAUAAAAUUAUUUUGUGAAAAUUUAAAAUUUGCAAAAUGACCCUGUCAAAAUUUUAUUUAGAAAACUAAACCUCCUUUCGCCACGUCAGAGCCAUAGCAGAAUUUCUUUUAAAGACGGUAAAUCGUUCCCCGCUUUCUCCUAUUUCUUUUAAAGGUGGUGAAUCGUUCCCCGCUUUCCGCUUUCUUUUUUUUUUUAAAGACAGUAAAUCGUUCGCCGCAUUCAUUAAAAUUGUGCGUGGAUUAUAUAAGAAAUAGAUAAAAGUGAGAUUGUUAGGAUUAUAUGCGAAUCAUUAGAAUUUUUAUUUGAUUAUUAGGAUUAUAUGGAUAGAUUAUUAAGAUUUUCAGGCUGUUAAGAUUAUAUGAAAUUAUAUGGAUAAAUUAUUAUGAUUUAAAGGUUGUUAAGAUUAUAUGUGAUUUGUUAAAAUUUUUAUGUGGUUGUUAGAAUUAUAUAUGGGAUAUAGAAAGAAACAGUAAGUGAAAGGCGGUGAAUCACCGCCUUUAAAAGAAAUGGGAGAAAGCAGGAAACGAUUCGCCGCCUUUAAAAGAAAUGGAAGAAAGCGGGGAACGAUUUACUGCCUUUAAAAGAAAUUCUGACAUGGCACCGACGUGGCGAAAGGAGAAUUAGUUUUCCAAAUAAAAUUUUGAGAGGGUUAUUUCGUAAAUUUUAAAAUUCUAGAGGGUUGUUUUAUAAAAAAGUCCUACUUUACAUGUUGAAAAAAAAACUAGAAGAAAUUGCAUAGAUAAUUCUACGGCGUAGUGAUGUUGCAUAUUAAUUAACACCCUUUAAAUGAUGCAUGAAUGUUUUGUUUGGUGUAUCCUUAUAAUUCAUUUAAAAAGUUUGAAAAUUUAGUAGAUAAGUAGUGAGAUCAAAUAUUUAGAAUUGGAUAUUAUAUUCAGCUAUUUAAGUUAUUUUUUCAGAAACGAUAAGUCAUCUCGUAAAUGAUAUAUAACUAUCUUAUCAAAUUCUGAAUAUCAAAAUUUUUGAAGAAGCAAAAAUCAAACUUUUUUUACAAUCAUAUUAGAAAAUUCUUAUGCUGAAUGAAUCAUCUUAUGAUAACUUAUCCAAACUACCAAACAGUACCUAAGUACAUGUUUGGUAUUCACAAUUGGAUUGGAAGAAUAACACACAAGGAUUGAAUAGGAUUGGGAGUAGGAUUGGAUUGAACAAAUGAUAAUCCAAUCUAAUACUUGAUGCGUUUGGAAUAGCAUAUAAAUUGGAUUAUUUAAUAAAAAUUCAAAUUUAUAACUAAAAUCGAAUUCGUAAUUUAAUUUUUAAUUUGAAUUGAGAUACUUAAAUUCAAAAUCAAAAUUUUCGUAGAAGUUAAAAAGUCAAAAUCUGAAAUUAAACUUGAAUUCAAAUAAUUUUAAUUUUGUUUGAUUUAUCACUCUAUUUGGAGUGGGUUGGGACGAGAGCGAAUAUUUUGCAGAUCGGGAUAGAUCAUACGAAGGAAAUAGCAUAUCAGCAAAAAUUCAAGAUAAAUAUUUUUUUUAUUUGUAGUUCUCACUUAUCAUCUCACUCGGAAUGGAUCGGAAUGAAAAGCACUAGCAAUCCAAAACCAUUUGCAUCCCUAUCUACUAAGAAUGUCAAUAGGUACAAAUACCAAAAUUUUAUUCGAACCCGAAUCAAACCGGGACAAGUUUAUUUGAUACUAAAUGGAUAUGAUUUUAGAGAGACGGAUAUAAAGAACGAAAACCAGACGGAUUUGGAUCAAAUAUGGAUUUUGUCCCUACCGGACCCAAACUCAAGCCCAAAUUGAUUUUACAUUAUUAUAGAGUGGAGUCCAGCUAUUAUACUAUCGAUAGCACCAAGCGCCCGUGCUAUCGAGUUUUUCGUUGUUAGAUCUAUCUCUUUGACCAUUUUCACCCGUUAGAUCAUACUAUUCAAUCAACCGCUUACUCAAUCCUAUGAGAUCACUAUCAUUCUAAUCGCACAUUCCUUCAUUUAAAGGCCGAAAAUCUAAUAGCACGAAUGACUUCGUCCUAUUAAUACUAUAGCGUAUAUGAAUGUUCAAUGUUAUAAUUUUACUUUGUAUUUUAAACUUUGAAAUUUUAAUAUAACAUGUUCUGAAGUAUAAUAAAGAUAAAAAAUUAUUUCAAUUCAAAUUUUUAGGUUUAGAUUCUGAUUUCGAAUUAUUGAUCAGAUUUGAGUUUGGCUAUAAAUUUUUAAAACCUACCCGAAUUUAAAUUGGGAUUCGGAUUUCGGAUUCUGAUUAUGAAAAAUCCGCAAUCGGAUCCAUCGACAUCCCUACUACCUGCACCUACCUAGAAAGUAAAGAAAAAGCUUCUGUACUCUCGGUCGAUCUUAUCCCCCACCGACCCACGAGAGAAAUAAAGAAAGUCUCCGAAGAUCUGCGAACUCAAACUCCCUACAACCACCAAUGUCUAUUUUUUCUCCAACCCGGUCUCGUGUCACUUCUUCAUUGGCUAAUCAUAAAAUUUUCAACCCACUCAAAAUACGCCACGUAACCAAAGUUGGCACGUCGUACAAACCGACGUGCAUAAUAUCCGACCACUUUUCUGUCCCACGUUAUCAUCGCUUUCAACUGUUCCUCUGCACGGCUUUACAUCAACAGUAACUGCUGUUGAAAUUUAGUGAAUUUACUAUUUUACCCUCCCAACAACUAGAAUUUCUGCACGAGUAUGAUGACGUCAUAUGUCUAUUUCCAUAAAUUCGUACGAAGCCACAAUUUAUUGGGACGAACCCGCGAGCCGUUGGACCGAGGUUUGGUUUCGUGACUUUGCCUCGGAGUCGUCACGUUUUUUCUUAUUGUGCUAAAUUCAUUGGAUAGUCCCUGUACUAUUCUCAUAUUGCUGAACAGCCGUUGCAAACAAAUAUUUUUAAAAUUACACUUUUUUACGAUUUAAGUUUAUAAUUAUUUAUAAAAUUUUAAAUUCUAAUUAUUUAUAAAUAUUUUUUUCUAAAUAAAAAUUGAAUAAUAUUAUAUGGCCAUUGGCCAUUGGCCCGAGAUUUUGUUUCAUCAGUUUGCCUCCAAGUCAUCAAGCUUUUUAUUAGUGUGAAAAAUGCAUUAGAUAGUCCUUUUACUAUGCACGUAUUGCGGCGCAGUUUUUUUUUUUUUAUUCAUAUUUUUAUUGUGUGAAUUGCAUUAGAUAGCCCUUCUAUUAUUGAAUUGCGCACGAGUAUCUUAACAAUUUUAUUUUAAAAAAAAUAAAAAAACUUUUAAAAAAUAUUAUUCUAAUUAUAAAUAUUUAUAGAAAAAAUUUUGCAGGUCAUCCGUAUAUCUACCCAUCUAUUUCUGGGUGUGUAUGGAUAAAAAUGUGGGCUCUCGAAAAAUUUAUAGAUAAAUUUUAUCCGUGCUCCGCAUGAUCCUCAGGUAUAAUGACCGGUUCGCGAGUUGCGCGACCCGCCUGCUGAUCGCGCAUCUUGCUCAUUUAUUAGGUCUAAAUGUUUUUUUUUUUAAUUUCAUUUUCAUAAUAGUUUAAAUUUUAAUUAUAAAUAAUAUAAUAAUUAUUUUAAAUAAAGAUUAUAACAUGCCAACAAUUGGACUUCCCAUUUAGAAAAAAAAAAACAAGUUGUGAUUUCAACUUUCAUAUAUUAUUAUAUAAAUAGAUAAAGAUUAAAAAGCCUAUUUUUUUAUAUAUAUUACAUUUUAGUUCUUGAGGAUCAAAAAAUAAACUACUUUUACCUUACAAAAUAACCAGUUUAUCUCUUGUUAGUGCAACUCAUUUAUUUCGGUUCAUAAUUAUUACUUCACAUACGGUAAAAUAUUAUUUUUUUAUUCGUAAUAAAAAUUAAGAGCAUCUAAAUUGUGAAAUAUGAAAAAAAUAUUAUUAUUAUUAAAAUAUUAAAGUAAAUAAUAUAGAGACGCGGCAAUUGCGCAGCAGUUUGGUAGUGUCCAUAGAUUUUACUCUUUUCCUUAGGCAAAACUAGGGGUGGCUAAUCAGCUCGCUGUUCGGAGCCAGCUCCGUGUUCGGUGGCUUGAUAUGAGCUUGAGAUCGAAUCGUUUGUUUAGUAAACGAGCCGAACAUGAGCCGAAUUUUUCGCUCGUUUAUUAAACGAGCCGAACACAAGCUGGGGUCAGCUCACUCGUUAUUUAGCUCGAUAACAGCUCGAAUACAUAUAUUUUAUAUUUAUAUAAUUUAUUUAAUAUAUAUUUAUAUAUAAAUAAAUAAUUAUAUAUAUAAUAUAUAUAUUUAUUAUUUAAUUUUUAGCAAAAUAAAAAUAUAAGGAGCUUAAUUAUAUAAAAAAACAUUUAUAUAUAAAGUUUCAACUAGUAGAUCAAAAUUUAAUGGAUAAGAUUUUAUAAAUUUAUUUUUUAUAUAUAUUCAAUCUAAUCUUUUUAACUUAUUAUUCGUUGGCCAGGUCGUGAGCCAACUCGUGUUCGGCUCGUUUAUUAACGAACCGAACACGAACUGAAUUUUUUGGCUCGAUACUUUAACGAAUCAGCUCGUGUUCGGCUCAUUUAUUAAACGAGCGAACACGAGCCGACCCUAGUUCGCUCGUGUUCGGCUUGUUUACACCCUUAGCAAAACUGUAUAAAAGUUGCAUCAAGGCCCACUUUUUACUAUUUAUGAAAUAGGCCCUCUUAUAAUUUUUUCAUUUGAGAAACUUAGUUUGUACAAUAAAAAUUUUGGUAAAUUCAAAAGCUAAUUUAUUUUUUAAUAAUUAACUAUUCAAUUCUAUAAAGUAAUCUAGACUUUUGAUAAGAUUAUUGAUUAAUUUGAUCAAAAUUUUUUUAUUUUUUGCUAAAAUUUUAAUUUUUGUUUAGAAAAAAUAAAGUUGUGCUCAUGUUUAAAUUUAUUUGACCAAAAUUACUUAGUUUUUAUUUAAAUUUGAAAGUUUAGGCGGUCACAAUCCAAAAAGUUAAAAAGUUAAUUUAAUUUCUUAUUUCUAAAGAGUUAACAACUACUGUUGCACCGAGUUUAUUUGCUUUUUUGGGGAUUAAAAGAAAACUUUUUUAGAAGUACUAGGACUAUUAAUGUUGGAAUUAAUUAAAAGUACGAGAACCAGAAUAAAACGUGGCUGAGUUCAGGGACUAAUGGUUCAAUUUACCAAGGAAAAUAGUUUGUGGGAAUUUCUGAACGUGCUAUAGUUGAGGGGCUACACAGACAUUUUGUUCGUUUUUAUUUUAUAAUAAUAAUAUAAUAAUAUAAUAAUAUAAUAAUAAUAAUGUAUGAUGUCCAGCAUCCGAAGUAACUUUCGGUCUCCUCCUCAUCUUCUUCCUCCGGCCAACGAGAAAGUGAAAAAGGGGGAAAAAAAAGAAAAGAAGCGAAAAGGAGAGAUCAAAACCCUAACCCUAGUUCUCCGAUCGAUUUCGCCAUGGCGUCGAGUGGAUCCUCAGGGCGAGCCCCAUCGGGCUCCCGAUCCUUCGACUUCGGCUCCGACGACGUGCUCGGCGCCUACGACGACUACGCGAGCAACGAUCCCUCCAACGGGAAGCGAUUGGAUCCCUCGGGAAAGGUAUCGCCUCCUCUCUCUCCUCUUCGAUCCUUUUGAUUCGUUUGUUUACUGAGUUUACUGCCGGUUUAAAUUCGAUCCUUUGUGCCAGGUUGGGGUUUAGAUCGCUUGAGAUGAUUGUUCUGAUCUCAGAUUAGGGAUUUGGUCGGUUUUUUGAUGAAUUUGGGAUUCGUCAUGUCCGUACUAGUCGUAAUUGGAUUUUUUUUUCAGAAUUAGCAAUAAUGAUCUCAUUUAAUGCAUAGUACAUCUAGGAUUCAUUGUAUCUUUAGCGGAAAAAGAAAAUUUACGAUGGGGAAAUUGUGAUUUGGAAAAGAUUUUUGCACUUUUGGCGCUCUGGGAAUGAUAUUUCAGUAUUAGAGUGUCAUUAGUCUUCAACAUGCUUUAAGGCUCUGUAUUCAGUUUUACUGAUUUCCGUUUGAACGUAUUGCAUGCCAUGGUCAGCUAUCGUUCUUUGAGAUACUUUUGGUACCACACUAUUAUUUAAUUUGGUGUUUCAUCUACCAUUCGGUGAAGGAACCAUUUAUGACCUAAAGUGUUUAUAUUAGCUUCCUUUUGCGUAAGUAUAUAUAUAUAUAUAUAUAUAUAUAUAUAUAUAUAUAUGUCGCAAAUCUUUAACAUUUUCAUUUAGGAAAUGGAUAUUGUUAGAUUAUACUACAAAGUUGAGAAUUCAAUUUAUGGGAAGACAUGAAAUACCUCCAUGAAAAUCGGUAAAAAAUCAUUUAUUUCCUCAUUCUUUAAGCCUCAAUCACUCCCUUAGAUUUCCCAGAGGAUUACUCGAAUUAAUUGCAAAAGUACCUUUUUACCUCUUUGUGAUCUAACUCCAAAUUGCUUUUUAGCCAUCAACACCGAAUCCUCCAGUAGAAUAGCCGGACCCCACCAGAAACUCUCUCCUCUUCUAUUUUUGUGCCUUUGCUUUCUUUGGUUCACAUUUUGGGUGCAAAUGAGUAACAAUUAGAGAGAUGAAGAGAGAAAGAAGAAAUGAAGGGUGUAAAUGUUUUAUAUUCUUAAUGGAAUAUUGACAAAAGGGACAAAAGGGACCUAAAAAAAGUGAUUAUUGUUCAAUAUUCAAGCAGCUAUUUUUUUGUUUUCUUAAAAACUCAAAGGUGCAGUGCUAUUCAACCAAUUUGUUUGGAAAUACGAUGCAUUUAAGCCUUUUUUGGGUGGCUAGAAAAUGUUUUGACUUCUUACCAGGAAAUACCUUUGUUUCUAGGCUAAAAUUAGGCAAACCUCAUGCAGUGUGAGUUUCAAGUUUAAAUUUAGACAAUCCCUUUGUCUCGGUUCCUCAUAUUGCUUGCCCAUCCAGGCACUUUAUGAUAAGAUGCUUCCAAAUCAAUUGGACAGUGGAUACAUAAAACAAUAGAACUUAACACAUUAUGCAAAUUGUAAUGCCAUGCUCUGAGUUGAGGUUUUCUUUUUUCCUUCCUUUGAGGUUCAGAGAAUAUGUCCAAGUUCAGCCAGAACUAUAUAUAUAUCUGCAAACCCUUGCUUGGUAAACCAAACAAAAGCCCGAGUUUCAUUUAUGCCUGAUAAUCUUACCAAACCAUGACAUAUCCUUCUUGUUGUUUUUAACAAAUGGAUUUUCACAAUUAACUAAAUCGUUACUUCUUAAAUCUUUUAAGAAACUUUUAAAAACUAUUUAAAUGUUAUGUUUAUGCUUGCAGGACCUUUUAUGCAUAUAAAUGGCAGAAUGUGCAUGCUCCUGCCUGUUUUGUGGGCCAAUGUACCCCUUUUUUUCAAUAAUAUGCUGCGGGUGCAUGCAUAUUUUGUUCUCUAGGUUUUAUAGAUAUGCAUUUUACACUCUAGUUUGUGUACUUGCUCUAUCUUGUGUGUAUACUGUUUAUGUUGUCACUUGUCAGACAGUUUGCACUAUAUGGGAUUAAAAUAUAUUUGGCUUUUUUGCUUUAACUAUGAAUUAGAUGCAUAAGAAAAAUCCCCAAAUCUUAGAUUAUUUUUACAUCUGAAAGAUUAUUUUUACGUCUGAAAGACCUUUUUCUAUGGGCUGCUGUGGGUAACAUGAGCACAAUUUGCAAUGGAUAAGGUAGACUAUCUACUAACUAGCCUUGUGACUUUUAUGCAAGUUUGUGGCAAGGUUUACAGUUGAUUGCAAAAACUUUACCAACUUCUAUGGUAUCUUCUUAUCUGUGAGUUUCGCUUGAGCAUAUUGUUAAGAAAAGAACAAUACUUGGAUGAUCUUGAUGAUACGAGAUGUUGCUCUAAAUAGGCUCGAAGCCAGGGCAGUGGUGGCAUUGAUCUGAUAAUGGACUGCAUAAGAACUGAAUUUUCAAACUGUGCCUGUCCUUGAACAUUAAAACAAGGCUUGGCCAAAGCCAGUUCAAACUUGUCUUGCUUAAUUUGAUUACAGCUGCAAUCUCUCUCCCAUAUUUUUCUUUCUUUUCUAAUUUUUUUUAUUUUUUAUAUUUAUUUUAAUUUAUGUUAAUUAUCUUGAAUUAAAUCAUGCACUAAACAAGUGGUUAAUCUCACAUAUGCUUGAGUAUAUGUUUAGCUCAGCCUUGUUUCAAUUCUUCUGCAGGAUCUCCAUGAUAGCAGAAUGGGGAGACCAUUGGUAAAUAUAUACGAACAUGAAAAUUACUCCAAGGAGGAGAUAAUAUCUGCUGUUGAGAAGUGCAUGAAGAAGUAUGCUGAUAAUCUGCUCCGAUCUCUUGAGGGAAUUGGAGGGCGCCUGUCGCAGCUGGAGAUUCACUGCUAUAAGCUUGAGAGAUCAAUAGGUGAACUUCGAAAUGAUUUUAGUAGGGAUCAGAGUGAAACAGAUCUGAAGUACAAGUCUCUAGAGAAGCAUCUUCAAGAAGUAAGUUUAUUCCUGAUUUAAUAGUAACAUAGUUAUCAUUCUUUUGAAUGCUAGAGGAUCCUUGUUAAAAAAAAUUUUCCUGCAUGACAAAAGAAAUGUGCAUUUUGUUACUUUUCUUUGUUUCUUGUGAACUUCUUGAAUUCUUUUGAAUUUAAAAUGGGCCUAUGAAACAUCUCUAUCAGAAGAUUAACCUUUUAGGAUAAUUUACUUGUUCUUUUAUUCAGAUAAAGACAUCAGGAUUGUCAGUAAGAAGCAUUCCCAGUGUUAUGAUGAUGGAAAACAUUGUAUUAGUUAAGAGUUAAAGAUAUUCGUUAAUGCAAAAACUAAUUUCUGCCGAUAUUUAGUGCAUAUAUUUUCUCACAUUGUAACCCUAUCUUUUAUGUGUUAUUUGGUCAAGAAUUUGUUCUAUUUGUCAUGUUAGAGUUCUUCAUGCGAUUUGGAAAAAAUAAAUGAAUAAAUAAAUAAAUAAAAGAACGUUUAGACUGUAUGCUAUUGUAUGAAAAAGUAAAAGGUUAAAUGUUUGAAGCAUGUGCACUUUACGAGUAUGAAACAAAUCAGAUUCUAUGUAAGUUCUCCUCUGGGGUAGCUGAUGUAUUUAGUUUUGAAGUGUGCCGGUAUUUGACAAGGUAUCCGUUGGCAUGUUGGAUGUUCAUUCUCCUUCUGGUCAAUAGCUGUGAAGGAUAUCUUGUUAUUUUUGUAUAUUUCUCUUACGCUGUGCUUGCUUUGGAGAUACAUUCUGCAUGCUGGCUUAUUUUAUCAUUCAACUCUAGAUUAUGACUUGAUGAAGUUUUGAAAGGAUAAUAUUUGUGAGGAAUCCUAGCUAAUAAGAAUUCUAUUUAAUUAAAACUGGUGGUCCGGAGCUGUUUAUAUAUGACAUUCCCCACAAAAUGGAUUUUAAGGGCUGAUCCAUAGGAUUUACUUCAGUGAAAAACAAUAAAUAGCGUCCCUUAUCUUGGUUGCAAGACAUCUCUUUUCUUCUAUCCUUCUUCCAACUUCUUUAAUUAUCUUCGAAAUUACAUCUUGUCUCUUUAUUUUUCUUCCAUUAUGCUGGAAAUUGUAACUUUCAGCAGAAUUUCCUACAGUGAAACUACAAUCUGCAAACUUUCUUCAUUCAUUUUGGCAGUGCUAUAUUAAUGCAGAAAAUGUACUUUCUGCUAUUCAAUAUCCUUUUAGACCCGCUUCACAUGAUGACAUUGUGAUAUAAUAUGUACAGCAAGGACCGAUAGAAAAAGUGAUUCAAAGUGUAAAUGGCUUUGGAGUAGGCCCUUUCUGUGUAAGAAAAUAGUCUGUUUUUCAGAUGAUAUGCAAAGUUUGUAGAUUAAAUCAGUUUGCCAGUCUUUUUCUCGAUUUUUGGUUUCAUCUGAUUUCUUGUUUUGGGUCCUUUCAGCACUAUUGGCUUAUUGGCAAUUCACUAUACUAACAGCGAGCUAAACCUAUUUGUUUGAAUAAGAAUUAACAAUGUCAAGUUUUCAUUCUUUAGGGAGAGAAUAGGGUACUAUCCUAUCACAUGUCUAUUUUUUAGUUUUUUCCAUGUGCUAUCAGUUUAGUUAGGUUUGGACUCUUGCUGAUACGGUUGUAUCAUUUACACAUGAAUUCUAGUAGUCUUCUAUGAAGCUCUGUUCUUUCGUGCAGAUUUCUAUGCAGAAAAUAGACUUAUUUUAUAUGAUUAUACAGUGCAUUUGUCAACUCAACAUCACUCUAUUUCUUAAUGUCUUUGAUAUCUUUCCUCUACUGAAUAUAUUUUAGUGGUAGAUCAUGGUAAAUACAAUCUUGAAUGUCCCCUUCUCUAUCUUGAUCGUCUCCUCCUUUUAACUUCAAGUGAUGUUUUGUAUGCCAUGAAAUAAUCGUGUAGUUACUUAUCACUGUUUUCGAAUAACAUCUUGUUUGCAAUUGUUGAUCCUGAUUUGGAUAAAGAAUUAAAGAUCAGCAGACAUAUUACAGCGUGCAUAGGAAUCCCUGCACAUUUUGGUCGUUAUGCAGAUAACCUUUGCUCUGUUUGCUCUGGUAGUACAUUUACAUCAUGGUGGGUUUGCAUAUCUUAUCAAGUGAAAAACAUUGCUAGUAUUAUUGGUUGGCUGUAGCAUUUAAAGGAGCUAAUGGAGAACCAGCAAAUUUCACUCGGAUUAUAUUAUUGAAAAUAUAUAUAUCGAGAUCAAUAACUCUGAUCUUAAAUUGGAGAACCCGAUGUUCUAUUUUAGGAGAUCUUUCGACUUUGACCGUUUAUUGUAUACUCACUUGCUGGACUAUAUAUUUUAAAAAAUUGCAAAAUUCAGUUUCUAGGUAUUUCAAAUGUGUUAGAUCAUGUUUAAGCAUAUAGAUCAUCGAUUUAGACGCUUUAUCAUCGAAACAACUUCUGAGUACGAAAGCUUUCCGUACUUUAGCAUUACUCUCUCUCUCCGGUCUCUUCUGCUCUGCUCUCUCUCUCUGGUAAUAUAUAGUAUAUAUAUAUAUAUAAGCGUGAGAUAUGUUUAAAAUGCACGAAACAUUCGUGGCGUAUUAUAAGUUUUUAGCCUUUGGAUCGACUCUUUUGGUCAUUGUUGUGAUUAUUUGUAGGGCCCACCAUUGUGCAUGAUUCAGUGGCUGCUAGGGUUUAUCAAUGGCCAAAAUGAGGCUAUAGCACCAAUACCUUGGUGCUUCUAAGAGCACUCCAGCUGGACUAUAUAUUUGUAUUUAUACAUGUGUGUGUGUGUGUGUGUGUGUUUGUGUGUGUGUAGGCUAGAGCUACUAUCCUCUUAUGAGUAUAAGCCUCUUUGUACUCAUGAGUUUUCGGCCAUUGGAUGAAGAUAUGUGCGGUUAGAAUGAUAGUGAUCCCCGGUUAGGAUGAUGGUGGUCUCUUAGGGUUGAGUUAGUUGGUUGAAUAGUAUAAUCUAAUGUGUGGAAAUAAUCAAAUGAGUAGAUCUAACGGCCAAAAACUUACAAGUACAAAGAGGCUUGUACUCAUAAAAGUAUAGUAGCUGGUCUCUCUCUCUCUCUCUCUCUCUCUCUAUAUAUAUAUAUAUAUAUAUAUAUAAUUCACAGGGAUUGAACACUUGAUUGCAGCCGAUACAAGCUGAAGAUAGUACGAUAACUAUGUUAUGACUCUGGGCUUUUAGUAUAUUGUUUUUCUGCUAAUCAUUUUGUACAAGUAUAAAUGCAUUGAACUAUUAAAAGCUUUUCGCUUUGUUGUUGUAAAAUAAUCAUAUUCUGUGUGCUUGUGUAACUAAAAGAACUUCCAGCUAUGUCUUUCAUUGAAGGUUUCCUUCCUUGGUAUGCUUGUAAAGGCCAAUAGCCUUAUUAGUUCCAGUAUCAAGAUUUAUAGGCCUACAAGCCAAAAAUUAUACUUAGACGAAAAUUAUGAGCUUGAUCUAGUUCUUUAGAAAUUACUAAUUUAUGUUCUGUAAAGAAGUUUGUGUCAUCUUUACUGACUAAACUUUUCUUUCCCUCAUUUAGAUUUUUAAGGGAUGUGAAUUAACAUCUCUUGAUUCUAUACCUUUGGAUACCAGGUUCACAGGUCCAUCCAGAUCCUGAGGGACAAGCAAGAAAUUGCUGAAACCCAGAAGGAACUAGCCAAACUCCAACUCGCACACAAGGAAUCUGCUCAAAAGACUGAAGAGGCCAUUGCACCACCAUCAGCAUCUGAGCCGAAGAAGCAGCAUGACGACAAGCCAGAAGCAUCAAACCAACAUCUAGCCCUCGUGCUAUCUCGCCAGGCAACUGUACCCCACUCACUCCCACCGAGAGCUUCCGAUCCAAUCCAACCCUACAAGGAACCGACUUUACAGCAGACCAUACCCGCUCAUUUGGGCCCGCAACAGGAUCGUUAUAUUCUCAACCAAGCGAGUGCUUACUACCCGCAGAGCCAACCGAUGCAACCUGAGCUACAAUACAUUCAAACCAGGCCGCCACAAACUCAAGAUAUUCCGGUCCCACUGCCACCUCAGCAGCCUUCCCAAGUAAUUAGUCAGGCUCAAACACAGACUUUCCCUCAAUAUCACCAGCAGCAAUGGCCUCAGCCGCCCUCUCAGCAAUUUCCCCCGCAGGUGAUGCAGCCUCAACAACCUAACCCUAAUCAGUUACCCCCACAGGUGGUACAGCAGCACCAAUCUGCACCACAGACUNACAACUUUAAAUUUUAAAUUUUAUAUAUAAAUUUUAAAUUUUAAAUUUUAAAUCUAAUUUAUAUAUAUCUAAUUUUAUUUAUAAAUCUAUAUUUAUUUACUAUAUAUAAUUUUUAUAUUUAAUUUUUUAAUGCUUAAAAUUUUAAAUUAGAUUUAAAAAUUAAAAUAUUAAAAAUAUUAUUUAAAAUAUGUUAAAAAUUACGUAAAUUUUCCGCCGCGAAGCGCGGGCCUACACUAGUAUAUAUAAU